GGUGAUAAUCGCAGUUGUUGUUUCCAUUAACCAUCAUAUUCCAGAUGAACUGAGAUACCAACUGCCUGCCGUGCUGGACAUUCAAGCACAGAUCUUCAAUGGCGAGGAGGCAAUAAUGACCACUGCAUUGAACUUAAUUGGGGUACCUAGAACCAACCAAGACAAUGUUCACUUGUGUCGAUAUCCCUUGGUUUCCAUGUUGAAGGAUGGUUUUAAGAUUAAAGUGACCAGGCGAAACCCGCCCUACGUACCGGGCGUAGAGCUGAAGAAAGCUGGGAUUUUUCUAGUUUAUGAAAACGAUGAUGAUUAUCGUGGCGAUGAAGAUUCACUGGACGAGAACCAGCAGUCUGUAUCAGAAAAAUUAGCCAAGUUUUUCAGCUCUCUUGAAGAAAAUGAUGGAAUUGAUCACCAAUCCAACUGCAGCCAUGAAAUAGAAGAAAAGCUUCAACUCCCAAGUAAGAAACAAAAACGUCGCCCAAUCAAAUCGUGCUGCAGUUGGUGCGGGAGGUUAAGCGUAAAAUCAUGAGAGAUUUCUGUUAUUUCACUUCACUCAAGUUGAACGCAGUAUACAUUCUUAGGAUUUAUUUUGAUGGAUAAUGAAAUAGAUUUUAGUGAGUUUAAAGACGAGGGUGACAAUAAAAUUAGUUAUGGGCAUAUUCAAGCCCUAAAGUAGCAACUUUAAUCCUAUAACAUAACCUAAUUAUUUUUCACUCAGGACUAUUCAAUAAAUUAGAUUUUAUAUAUUUGAUAUAUUUAAUCUGUUAACAACUUUAUGAUCUAAAAAAACUGAACUUUAAUUAGCGGACUCAAUUGAGCGGUUGUUUAUAUUAGAAUAUUUACCCCAUAACAUAACUUAAUUGUUUUUUCACUUGAACUAUGCUAACUUGUUCUUGUGAUUAGAAUAAAAGGAUAAUUACGAAUCAAUCUAUCUUUAUUAACUAUGUGUUAAUUUAAAUAUUAGAUAAGGGGCCCUUCUUGAAUCAAAAUAAAAAAUAAUACUUAAGAGACGAUUUUUUCUUAUCUCGUAAAUCGAAGAAUGAAUAAAUAACAAAACAUGAAAACUAAAACAUAAACUUUAAUCUUAUAAUCUUAUACCCGAGCUUGAUUUACCCCCUAAGCUAAUUAAUUUCUUAGCUAUUCGUAACAAAAGAUUGACUAAGGAAAUAAUAAAGGCUUUAUUCACAAUUUAACCCUUGAGCUAUACUUGUUUUCCCACAUUGAUACUUAAAUAUUUUUUAUAUCAAUUUGAUAUUUGAGUUUUGCAUCAUACUCGUUUUGAUACUCAAAAGUUAAUAAUAUAAAAAAAAAGUCAAUCAAAAUGUGUCACAUCAUUGAUGACAUGGCACAUUGAUCAAGUUGACUUGGUAUUGACUAACAUUGACUCUGUAUUGACCCACGGUGGUCUACGUUGACCGAGCAUUGACCAAUCUUUACCCUCUUUGAUUUAGGUUGACAAUGGAUAAAAAAUCAUUAAAAAGUAUAAAAGAAAUAUUUAAAAUGAAAAUAGCUUGUAAAAAAUUAUUUAAAAAUAUAUGAACAUAUAUAUAAAUUAUUUAAAAAUAUUAAAAUACUGCAAAAAAAUCUUUAAAAUUGUACAAAAAUGGUUAAAAAUGAAUAAUUUCCACGGAUAUUCACUCCUUUUAGUUUCCAUGGUGAUAAUAUUUACUUUUAAUGAAAUAUUUUUGCAAACACGUACAAUACAUUAAAAUUAAUAGUGUAGAUUGUGGUUUGUGAUACAUCUAACCCAAUCCCUUCUUUCACCGCAUUUUCUUCGUUUAGUGAAACGGAGUGUAUUGUACGUCAUUUUCAAGUCAUUAGAAGAAAUUAUUAUCAACAUGGAAAUUAAUAACUUUUAAAGAAUGUUUACAAAAUUUUAAUAUUUUAUAGUUUUUACAAGUUUUUAAAAAUAUUUUUAUAAUUAUUAAUUUUUUUACUAGUCAAACAUUGGUUAACACCCGGUCAAUGUAGGUCAACAUUGGUCAACACCAAGUCAACUUGCCACAUCCCCAAUUAACUUGCCAUAUCAUUGAUCAAUGUGUCAUGUCACUAGUUAACCUACCAUGUCAUUGAUGACAUGGCAUGUUUUGAUUGGCCAUCCUUUUUAACAUCGUUAGUUUUUAAAUACCAAAACGAGUAACGGUGCAAAGUUCAAGUAUCAAAAUGGGAUAAAAAAAAUUUAAGUACUAAUGUGGAAAAACGAAUAUAAUUCAAAUACUAAUUUGUGAAUAAAGCCAAUAAUAAAAGAAAUCUUUUGUCGAAAUUAAAACACGAAAGCAAGUUAAAAGGAGAGUGAGUCUCUCUCGCCAAAAAAAGAUUCAAGAUCGGGUCAGUUAUCAAUUGCUAUUGGAGUUAAUAAAUGUUGUGGAAAAGUGUAGUUUAUUAAAGUGUUUUGUAUUGCGGUAAAAAAUUGGGAUGGGGAGUUAAAAUGUUUAUUUUAGACAUGACAUGGAAAAGUAAAAAAUAAUUAAUUUAAAUUAUAUUUAAAUAAUUUAAUAUACCUAUACAUGGAAUAUAAAUUUUAAAUAUGUUUAAGUAAUUCAUAUAAAUUCGUUGUAAAAUUAAUGAUGCAUAAAAUAUUACAAAAAUUUAAAUAUAAUGAUAAAUAAUAUUUAAAUAGUUUAAUCUAAUGAUACAUGAAAUAUAAAUCAAUCUAAAGUUUUAAAUACAUUUUAAAUAACUAAUAUAAAUAAGGAUAUUUUGAUAAUUUUACUUCAAAACACAAAAAAUCAUAAGUAACUAAAUUUCAAAUUUUAAGCAUAAAAUCAUUUUUCAAUCAUAGUUUUAACCUCAAAAGUUAGGUGUUCUUCGUUACUUCUAAUAUUAAAAAGUGCUUUUAGAAUUCCAAACACAAUCAACAACAAAUCUAAAACUUUGUGUGUCUCGUUUAAGUGCCUCACUUCCUCCUAUAUAUAAGAGGAAUUACGAUCCAACUAAUCUUCUACACAAUAAAAAUAAUGGUAAACUUCAUCUAUAGUUGGUUUACAUUUUGGUCAUUUAACUUCAAAAAAUUAUAAAAUAGCCACUGAACUAUUCGAAAUUAAAUCACUGGGCUGUUAAAUCUUUUUUAAGCCUGCUGUUAAAUCUUUUUUAAGCCUAGUCAGAGAGCUCCAAGCGACGACUCAAUGAUCGAUAUGGUGGAUAUCAGUACCCAUCAAUGAGUAGAACAUACCUUAGAUUCAAGUCGAUCUAGCGGCCGGUGUUGAAGAUUGGAGAACAAAACUGUUUGGAUUUUGAUUCAUAGAUUCGUGAUGUUCAAACUAUCAUUUUAAUUAUAUUUAAUUUGGUGAAUUAUUUUUAUUACGUUAUUAAAAGUUAUUUAUUAAUUUGUGUAAAUUAUAAUCCAAGUUAAAAAUAUAUAUAGAUGGUUAGAACAUCAUUGGAUUCAAAUCUUGUUUUAUAAUCAAUAAAUUUGAAAUCGGAUAUCUAAAUCUGCAUCCUUGGUUUCAGUCGUUUGAAUGUGCCACUUUUUCCUCUUGGAAAAUAUAAAUAUGACAAUCAUACUAGUUUUCCCUUAAACCAAUACCCAUCAGUAGUAUGAAGUAGGAAAAAAAUACUGAGAAAAAUGCAGAAACUCGUCAUGUAAUUUGUUGUUUAGGAUUAUAACUGUUACUAGCUCGGGGAAAAUAAAAGAUAACAGUGAACUGGCUUUAUUUAUUUAUCACAAUUUCAACUUUUUAACUAACAAGACACUAAAACAAAGUUGAUUCAACAUGUCAGCAUCAGACAGUAAUUCUGAACAAGCAACUUUCUUGUACACCCAACGAUAAAUCAUUCUAGGAGAUUCUGUUCAGGUAUUAGUACAGACAAGGCUGACCUUUCAUAUAUGAAGAAAAAGAACACAUUCUCCCAAACACAACAAUCAAGAUGUUCAGGUACUGACUUUAGCUUUCUUUUAGAGCUCAAUGCCUCAUGUUGAGAAUGAAAAUAGAGUCUCUCUGGUUUUACCAGGAUGCAAUAUGCUUCUUUGGGUAUGACUGAAGGAGAGGAUUCAUUGGGAAAUUAAUGUUCUUCUUGCUGAUUGACAAUGACCUGUUGAGAUUAUGUUGUUCUUUCGAAACCACCACGAAUAUGCAACCACUCUGGUGAUGCACCGCGACUGUAUUCCCUCGUUGCUUGUGGACCAAAUGCCAUUCCAGUAGCAUCAAACGUUUGUUGGCCAUACUGAAAUGACAAAGCAGUUGUUAUAGCAGAUGUAAGUCUGGGGAAAAAGAAAAGAAUCUCUUCGAUGAAACAUUCCAAAGUUUUCCCCCCUAACAUGGUCAAUGCUGCUGUUGAAUAGAAUUAUUUCAUUCAACACAAAGCAGUUCAGGGACUACCUAAGCAAGUUCGAGAUGACUUGCGAGCAUCUAACUUUAGACAACUGAAACUUCAACAUAGAAAGCAUGUGUAUAUGCUAGCAACUGGAAAAUAUAAAUUGAAGUAAUUAAAUAAAACAACAAAAUCAACAACAGAUUAAAUACUAACAUCUUUAAGAGGAAAUACUUCAAUGGUAGGAUUCAUUCUUGAAUUAACUGCUUCAAGCUUCAUUGACAAGAACUGCAACAGCAGUAAUAAGAUUUCAGAAUAAAAGUUCGAGAUUACUGGGGGAAAAAUGUAAAAUAAAUACGAUAGAUGAGCAGAAGGAUGCACACACCUCAACCUGACGCUGUAGUGACUGAAUGUAAUUGAUUAUCUCAUCAAGAACAAGAGCCUCGCCAAUGACCUGAGUCCAAUAAACGACUUAGUAUGCGGCGUAAAUAUGCCAUGCUCAGGCAAACUGAAGAGAAAUUUUGAUAUGGUUUCGGUCAUCGACCAUGUCACCACAUAAGUUAUCAAUUUACCAAUAAGCAGAGACAGAUACAGCAAACCAGGGACUAGUUUUUUAACAUUUAGUAAUUAUAUAUAUUUUUGUUAUCUUUUACUAUCAAUAUUUUUUUCCUUUUAUUAAAUCUAAACAUAUACAAUUUAAAAUUUUUUAACAUUUACAUUAUAGUAUAAUAUAUUUAAUUUUUAUAUGAUAUAUAAAUUACUUAAUAUACUCAUGAUACCAGUGCUUACCCCUUUAAUUGUUAGAGUAUGCCCAAAGAUCAAUCAUGAGAUGGUUGUAAUAACAUACUUGAUUUAUCAUAUUUAUUAAUAUAAGGCGUUACCAUUAUUAUUUCAGUUUCUUUCUGUGGGUAUAAUAAAUUGUUUUAUAACAAUGUCCUGAGAAUAAUAUAAUUAUUCUUAAAAGUUCCUUAGUCAAAUAUUAUUGUUGGAUAGGACAACGAUAAUGCAUUAAGACUAACAUGUAGUUGAUUGAUGAUAAAGAGUUGUCAUUGAUAUGGAAUGUCAGAAUCGAUGCAUGAAUAUGUGUGUUAGAGAACAACAUAUUGGACUGACACGUUAUGAGUAUGUUUCUUGGACUAUUAUGUAAUUGUCAUGACAUUACUCAUAAUGAUUAAUAUGUAUAUGAUCCUCAGACUUGAGAUCAUCAUAAUCCCAACAUCGUGAGUUGUAUAUUUUGAUACAGUCAAACGUACACCGUAACUGGUUGUUCUAUAAAGGCUGAUGUUGGAUAUACCACAAUCUAUGUAGAGGGAUAUGGUUGGUCGAUAUAGGAUAAGUCCCUCCUACAUAAUGGGAGUAAUAUCUUAGGCCACUUGAUUGAGUGAGACUAGAAAUGCAUGGCCAUGCUCAAAUAAGCUGAUAUGAGAUGUCAUACUUAUUUGUAUAUCAUAGUCUACUUAAGAUGUCAAGGAAUGGAUUAUACAAGUGUGACUAUUCCAUGACUUGUGUUCAAUUUAGAGAUAAAGGACUUAAGGAUUAUGAAAAAACUAAUCUUAAAAAGGUUAUGUCGAAUCAUAAUUUCUUGUGACUUAGGUAGCAAUGAUGCAUUGCUAGGUGCCACUCAUUGUUUGUAACAUUGGAACCGUUCUAACAUUACUGCUAACGUUACAAGAACCUACAGGGUCACACCCUAUAAUUGAAAUGAACGGAAUAAAACAUAAUUGGUAUUGUGUUUGGUUGUCGCAUGAAUUAAAUUAAUUAUAGAAUUAAUUUAAUUGGGUAAUCAAAUAUCGAACACAUUAUAUGUACAAGGUUGUUGUACACAUAAUGAGAAUAUGAUUUUGGUUCGUAUAUAAAUAAAUAUAGUUUACCGAAAUCUUGAUUAUAAUUAAUGUAAUUAUAAUUUUCGGUUUUUAAACGUUAUUAUAUUUAUUUUAAUUUUGAGAAACCCUAAAAAUUAAUAUAAGAUAUAAAAUCCCAUAUUCUUUGUUUUGUGGGUCUGGCAGCCGUCAAAGCAAAGUCUUCUGUAAAAACUGUUUGGGGAUUCCUUCCGUUCAUAGUCAACUUAUAACAGCUCAAUUUUGACCCUAAUCGGACAAAGUGGUUUCGAGACCACGAAUCCGAGUCUAAAAAUAUUUUAAUAUUAUUUUAUGUGUUAAAUAUGUGUGAAAUUAUAUAUGUGAAAGUUUCGUGAAAUAAUUUUACUGUUUGUAUGCUUAAUUUGAGAAAAUGGCUAAAUCGCGUAAAGUGAAAAUUUGAGGGUUAAAUAUGAAAGUGCUUAAUUGUUUUUGUCUUUAUAAAUUGGAGGUUCUAUAUGGUAAUUAAGCCAUUUUCCAAGUUAGUGGACGGCAUUAGGUGAUAUAUAUGGUUUUCUUAUAUUAUUAAUAAAAAAUAUAUAUGUUAUAAUAAGGUAUAAUAUAUUAUUAUGUUAUAAUAAACAUUAAAAAAAGCCAUUAUCAUUUUUUUUCCUUCAUCUUCAUCACGAAACAAAACAAAAGAAAACAAAGAAACAAAGCUAAGGUAUUCGGCCAUUGUUGAGCUUGAUUCAAGGUGAGUUCUAGCUCGGGUUUUGAUAAUUUUUAUAUUUUUGAGAUCGUUGCUUCGAAUGCUAUCCGACCCAUGCUAGAAUUUUUGAUUUUGAUGAAUAUUUUGAGUUAUGUCAUUAAUGAAUAAUUGUGUUCUAUGAUGUUUGAUGAUGGAUUAUGAAAUAUAUGUGUUAGAUCAACAUGUUUUGUCUUUGAAUUUUUGGUAAAUUUGAGUAAUUAGGGCUAAAUUAAAAAAAUAAAUUUUUGAGGGACUAAAAUGAAAAAUAAAUGGAAUGCAUGGACUUUUUUGAAUACAGGGAAGAUUUGGCCUAGCUAUGUUGUUGUGAGAUUUUGUAUAAAUUGUGUUUUAUGCAAUUGAGAUUAAAUUGCAAAAAGUGUAAAAUAUUAGGGGUAAAAUGGUAAUUUGCCUAUUUAUGUGUUUUUGGAUUAAAUUGAAUGUUUUAAUAUUUAAAUUAGCUCAUUCGAGAUAUAUUUAGAUCAAGAAUCAAAGAAAUCAGAGUUAGAUCGGGGGAAAGCUAAAAUCGUCGAAUAAUCAUCCGGUUUCGAUUUUUCACCGUCCGAGGUAAGUCAACUAGCAAUUUAAUGUUAUUAAUUAAUAUAUAUAUAUAUAUAUACAUAUAUAUAUAUAUUGUAUUUGGAUGAGCUCAAAUUGAAAGUAUAUAGCUUGAAUUUAGUCAAAGUAAAAAUGAUAUGUAUAUAUAUAAAUAUAUGAUUAAUGUUCGAAUAUACAUAUAUGUAUACACAUAUAUGUAAGCUCUUGAAUUUAGUUGAAGAAUGAAUAUGGCUUAUGUAUAAAUUCUUGGUUAUUAAUCGAAAGGUAUGUAUAGUGUAUAUAUAUAUAUAUAAGGUUAGAAUGUAUAUAUAUAUGUAAGUACAUAUAUGUACAAACUAUUGGAUUGAUUAAAAAUAUAUAUGUUAUAUUUGCAUAAGUAGUUUUGAAAUGGUAUGUACAUGUGAGUUGAAAUUUAUAUGUAUAUGAUAGAAUUGAAUGAGCACAUAAAUAUAUAUUUACAUGUAUAUGUUUUUGUAUUGAGUUUGGGUAUAAUUUUUAUAUAAGUUUAUAUGAAGUUCGGAAAUACAAAUAUAAUUGAAUAUGUUUUUGUGUUAAAUUUAGGUAUGACUAUUAUAUAAAGUAUGUAUGAGACUCGAAUAUAUAAAAACUUAUAUAUGUACAUGUUUAUGUAUUGAAUUUAGGUAUGAUAAUUAUAUAAGUUUAUGUGAGAUUCAAUUAUGUAAUUAUAUUCAUGUGAAGCCUUUGAAUGGAGUUGAAGGUACAAAAUUGUUAGCUUGGAUUACUAUAAGAUGUUCGAAUGUAUGAUAUUAAUAGUAGGCCUUAAUGUAUUAAGUUAUAUAUCUGUAUAUGAUCAUAUGUACAAUUAAGUUAUUGAGCUGGAUUCAAUAUCUGAACUUUAUAUACCUAUGUGGUUUAAAGGUAUAAUUUAUAUAUAUUGAGCUAAAUUUUUAUACAUGGAAUCUUAUAUACAUAUACAUUUUGAAAGUGAUUUGUAUUUAUAUAAAUUGAGUGUUCAGGCUCGGUGCCUAGCAGGCUUGAUGCCAGUGAUAUGUUUCAGACUUUAAGUCUAGCAGGCUUGUCGCCGGUGAAACAUUUCAGACUUUAAGUUUAGCAGGCUUGGCGCCGGUGAAACAUUUCAGACUUUAAGUCUAGCAGGCUUGAUGCCGGUGAAACAUUUCAGACUUUAUGUCUAGCAGGCUAAGUGCCAGUGUAUUGAAUCAGGCCUUAAGCCUAGCAGGUUUUGUGCCGGUGAAUCUAUUCAUAUCAUGUGUUUACAUGUAUCGAAUAUGUGUAUGAUUUAGUCAUAUGGAUUUAUAGAAUAUGUAUAUACAUUUGGUCAUUGUGUUUGAUGAGNNNNNNNNNNNNNNNNNNNNNNNNNNNNNNNNNNNNNNNNNNNNNNNNNNNNNNNNNNNNNNNNNNNNNNNNNNNNNNNNNNNNNNNNNNNNNNNNNNNNNNNNNNNNNNNNNNNNNNNNNNNNNNNNNNNNNNNNNNNNNNNNNNNNNNNNNNNNNNNNNNNNNNNNNNNNNNNNNNNNNNNNNNNNNNNNNNNNNNNNNNNNNNNNNNNNNNNNNNNNNNNNNNNNNNNNNNNNNNNNNNNNNNNNNNNNNNNNNNNNNNNNNNNNNNNNNNNNNNNNNNNNNNNNNNNNNNNNNNNNNNNNNNNNNNNNNNNNNNNNNNNNNNNNNNNNNNNNNNNNNNNNNNNNNNNNNNNNNNNUGCAUAUUGUAUAUACAUAUUUAUAUAUUCAUUGGUAAGCAUUCUACGAGUACAUAUAUUUGAUUAUAAAUAAGAUGAUUAUGAGUACAAAUAUUCAAAUAGUAAUAUAUGUCGUAUUUGCGAUUUCAAUAAGUUUAAUUAUGAAUUUAUAUUAUUAUUCUUUUAUAUAUUUUUAGUUAUGCUAUAGACUUACUAAGCUAUGUAAGCUUACUUUGUUUGUUUACGUCUAUCUGUUUAUAGAUAAUAAUAAAAAAUCAAAUCAAGCUUUAAGCUCAGGGAUCGUCAGCAAGUUUAUCAUCUUAUCUAUUGUCUCGGUAUUUAAAAUAUUUAAAUUCUAACUAUGGCAUGUACAGACUAGAUAAAUGUUUUGAAGGUCGUACUUUGUUGUACUGUAUAUGAAUAUAAUAGCCAUACUAAAAUGAUUUAUUUCCUUAUAGAUUUGCUAGUUUGUAAUGUCUUUACUAGUUGGAUUAUAAUGUCUUUGUUUAUUAAAAAUGGUUAGAAGAGAAGUUUAACAUUUUGCAUAUUUAAUGUAUAUGUAUAUGUAUAAUAUAUAUGUAUUGAUUUUGAGAUGGUUGUGUUUUGUUCAGUAAUGCCUCGUAACCCUAAUUCGGCGAUGGAUACGGGUUAAGGGUGUUACACAACUGGGUGGAUUACGUAGAGGUCGGAGUCAUCAAAGAUUGCGGCUUGGUUCGACAGUAGAUCAGAUUACUUGUUGCCGAGGCGUCGCUGUCUACUCAGAAUCACCAUUCGGUAAUUUCGAAACCCUUUUUCACCCUGAUUCGUUCCUCACACUUGGAUCCAUGGUUAGGACCUUUAAUCUUAUAACAUAAUCUAAUUGUUUUUAACUCGAACUAUUCGAUAAAUUAGAUUAAAUAUAUUCGAUAUAUUUAAUCUGUUAGCAACUUUAAGAUCUAAAAAAAACUCAAUUUUAACUAGUAGACUCAAUUGAGCGGUUGUUUAUAUUAGAUUAUUCACCCCAUAACAUAACCUAAUUAUUUUUUCACUCGAGCUAUGCUAACUUGUUCUUGUGAUUAGAAUAUAAGGACAAUUACGAAUUAAUCUAUCUUUAUUAACUAUGUAUUAAUUUAAAUAUUAGAUAAGGGGCCCUUCUUGAAUCAAAAUAAAAAAUAAUACUUAAGAGAUGAUUUUCUCCUAUCUCAUAAACCGAAGAAUGAAUAAAUAACAAAACAUGAAAACUAAAACACAAACUUGAAUCUUAUAAUCUUAUACCUGAGCUUGAUUUACCCCUAAGUUGAUUAAUUUCUUAGCUAUUCAUAACAAAAGGUUGAUUAAGGAAAUAAUAAAAGCUUUAUUCACAAUUUAACCCUUGAGCUAUACUUGUUUUUCUACAUUGAUACUUAAAUAUUUUUUAUAUCAAUUUGAUAUUUGAGUUUUGCAUCAUACUCGUUUUGAUACUUAAAAGUUAAUAAUAUAAAAAAAAUGUCAAUCAAAAUGUGUCACAUCAUUGAUGACAUGGCACAUUGAUCAAGUUGACUUAGUAUUGACCAACAUAGUCUAUGUUGACCGAGCAUUGACCAAUCUUUGACCCUCUUUGACUUAGGUUGACAAGCUAUUGAGGGGUAAAAAAUCAUUAAAAAGUAUAAAAGAAAUAUUUAAAAUGAAAAUAGCUUGUAAAAGAAUAUUUAAAAAUAUAUGAACAUAUAUAUAAAUUAUUUAAAAAUAUUAAAAAAUUGUAAAAAGAUCUUUAAAAUUGUACAAAAAUGGUUAAAAAUGAAUAAUUUCCACGGAUAUUCCUUCCUUUUAGUUUCCAUGGUGAUAAUAAUUACUUUUCAUUAAAAUUAAUAGUGUAGAUUGUGGUUUGUGAUACAUCUAACCCAAUCCCAUCUUUCACUGCAUUUUCUUCGUUUAGUGAAACGGGGUGUAUUGUACGUCAUUUUCAAGUCAUUAGAAGAAAUUGUUAUCAACAUGGAAAUUAAUACCUUUUAACGAAUGUUUACAAAAUUUUAAUAUUUUUAUAAUUUUUACAAGUUUUUAAAAAUAUUUCUUUUUAUAAUUUUUUACUAGUCAAGCAUUGGUUAACUCUCGGUCAAUGCAGGUCAACAUUGGUCAACACCAAGUCAACUUGCCACAUCACCGAUUAACUUGCCAUAUCAUUGAUCAAUGUGUCCUGUCACUAGUUAACCUACCAUGUCAUCGAUCACAUGGCAUGUUCCAAUUGGCCAUCUUUUUUAACAUCGUUAGUUUUUAAAUACCAAAACGAGUAAUGGUAUAAAGUUCUAGUAUCAAAAUGGAAUAAAAAAAUUUAAGUACUAAUGUGGAAAAACGGAUAUAAUUCAUAUACUAAUUGGAGAUUAAAGCCAAUAAUAAAAGAAAUUUUUUAUCGAAAUUAAAACACGAAAGCAAGUUAAAAGGAGAGUGAGUCUCUCUCGCCAAAAAAAUAUUCAGGAUUAAGGGUCAAUUAUCAAUUGCUAUUGGAGUUAAUAAAUGUUGUGAAAAAGUGUAGUUUGUUAAAGUGUUUUGUAUUGUGGUAAAAAACUGGGAUGAGGAGUUAAAAUAUUUAUUUUAGACAUGAUAUGGAAAAGUAAAAAAUAAUUAAUUUAAAUUACAUUUAAAUAAUUUAAUAUACCGGAAUAUAAAUUUUAAAUAUUUUUAAGUAAUUAAUAUAAAUUAGUUAUAAAAUUAAUGAUGCAUAAAAUAUUACAAAAAUUUAAAUAUAAUGAUAAAUAAUAUUUAAAUAGUUUAAUCUAAUGAUACAUAAAAUAUAAAUCAAUCUAAAGUUUUAAAUGUAUUUUCAAUAACUAAUAUAAAUAAGGAUAUUUUGAUAUUUUUACUUCAAAACACAAAAAACCAUAAGUAACUAAAUUUCAAAUUUUUAAGCUUGGAUAGAAAAUCAUUUUUCAAUCAUAGUUUUAACCUCAAAAGUUCGGUGUUCUUCGUUACUUCUAAAAGUGCUUUUAGAAUUCCAAACACAAUCAACAACAAAUCUAAACUUUAUGUGUCUCGUUUAAGUGCCUCACUUCCUCCUAUAUAUAAGAGGAAUUACGAUCCAACUAAACUUCUACACAAUAAAAAUAAUGGUAAAUUUCAUCUAUAGUUGGUUUAUAUUUUGGUCACUUAACUUCAAAAAGUUACAAAAUAGCUUAAACCCGAUCACUUCUCCCUUGAUUUGUUCUCGGAUAUCUGAAUACAGCACGGCUGCCUCGUUUCCUCAACUAUCCACAAAUACGACUCUAACCCAAUGCCCUUUUUUAUUUGAAAUCGAGUUAAAUUUAAAGGAUGAAUUUGUCAAUCUUGAUACUUAGGAAAAUAGUGAAUAUCGAUUGAAAGGAUUUUUAGUAUGGAUACGUAUCUCAUGAUUCCCGACCGGAAAGAAUGCCAACCUAAAGCUAAAUUACAAUUUAGUGAAGCAUGGAUUUAAUCAUGCUUUGGUUGGCUAUGGAGUGGAUUUGAAUGAAAAUCGUGGAAGUUGAGAAGGGAAGGGACUUGGAAAGCAAUUAAACAAAUUUUGCAAAAACAAGGAAAUGGAAAUGAAAGUAGCACUAGCUACCAACGCAUCAAUUUGAAGGAAAAUAAUAAUUCUUAUUUAAUUCCAAGUGAAAUCAAGUGUCUUUUCAAGCUACCACAAAUGCCCUAUUUAUAUAUAUAUAAUUUACUAAAUUUGACCUAAUUGCCCAUUACACAUAAUUAAAAUUAAAUAAAAAUAAAAUCAGAUUUUAUUUUUAUUUUAGCUUUCACAAAGUCAAAAGAAAUCUGACCAGUCUUUGAUUAUUUCUAAGUUUUUUAUUUGGUACCACUUUAUUGACUGUUCUGCAAAUUGGUAUUUUUUUGCUCAUUUUUUGACUCAUAGCAUUCAAAUUGCAUUCUUGACAAAAUUAAAAUAUAAAAUUACUAAUUUAACAAGGAUCAAUUCAAGAAUUAACCGAUUUAAACACAAAAUAAUACAAAUUUAACAUGUUAUAAGAACUUUCAUGGGAAAACAACCUCAUGGUUUUCUGCGGUCAAAACCCAAAAUAUAGGUGUCAUCAUUGAGGACAACAAGUUAUUGUACAACACAAAACCCUAAGUGAUCAACCUAAGGUUCCUUGCCAUAGUAUGCUUAAUGUAAACCAUUUCUGUAGUGAUGGUAGCCAAAUAUGCAAAUGCCCAUAAUAUGCAAUAAACGUAAAAGCAGAAUCACUAGCUAUAUACUCAAUAGUACCACCCAAAAUUAUCAAAAGAGACAUAAAUGUGAGCUUUGAAGGACAAGGUUGCCUCCUAAAGGUUGUAUAAGCCAAGGCAACCAAAAUGGGUGUCAAUGAUCUAAACACUAUGAAAGUCUCCACAUUGGCAUGGUUCAUGAAAGUUUUGGUCAAUGAUUUACAUGUUGUGUGUUAAUGCAAUUAUACAUAAAAGUUGGUUGAUUUCUUGGUUACAUGGAUUACAUGGUUAAACAUGUUUAUUAUUGUCAUUUGAGGUGCCUAAGGGCAUAUUGGUUGUAUGUGAAUAUACUACAUGUUUAAGACUUGAUUUUGCUUGUUUUGGAUGCCAUGAUAUGACUUGUUUAUAUCCAUAAUGUUGAUUAUAGGUUGACACCAAAUUGAGUGAGAAAUAUGGCUUGUAAAAUGGCUUAUUUUCGUCCACACGGGCAGAGACAUGGGCGUGUGUCUCAGCUAUGUGUGAUACACCGCCAGGUGACACGGCCGUGUGUCCCUUGUAUCUUUUAAAGAGUGCAAGUCAAUAUAUUCAUACGGCUUGGCUCAUGGGCAUGUGGCUUGACCCUGCAGCUUUGAAAAUUUUUAAGUGUUUCCGAAAAAUUUUCUAAGUUUCUGAUUUAUUCCCGAUUUGUUUCUAAUUAUGUAUAAUUUUGAUUGGUUUUUGACAUGAAUGUUAUGUUAUAUGAAAUGUUGAAAUUUCUAUCUGUUUAAUUUGUAAACUCCGGUAAUGCUUCAUAACCCGGUUUCGGCGAGGGAUACGGGUUGGGGGUGUUAUAGGCCUUUCUAUUAAUGCCACUUGACACGUGCCCUCCAAGCAUGGUGCUGCGAGUGAGUGUCCAUCCACCCAUUUUUACUGUAGAAACUCAUAUUUUGCCCGGUAUAGGUGCUUGAUACCGAUGUCGCCAUAUAUGACCCUUCCACCAUUUAAAUAUUCUUUUAAAACAAAUUAUGGGCUAAUGAUGGAAAUGAUAAGGCAUAAAAAAUGGGAGGUGUCGCCACCCGUUCAAGCACCACCCCUUGGCACUGUUCAUUUCAUAAUAUUUUUGUAAAUAAUGCCAUGAGGAUACCAUUUUGGUAUUUAGUUAUUUUUUGUAUUAUCGGAGUAAAAAAGCCUAUUAUUUUGCUAUUAUAUUAUUACUAUUUUGUUGUUAUUUUUUGGAUAUUGCAUAACUUCUAUUUUAUUAUUAAUUUUACUACUAUUUUAAAAGUAUUUACUUUCUAAGUUGCAUCUAUUUUAGUAUUAUUUAAAUUUAUUUAAUAUUCUUUGUUUAUCGGGAAACAUUUAUUUUAAUGGUUAGAAGCAAGUCAAUGAAGAUUGUAUCAAUUUUAGGAUUAAAUUAUAAUAUUAUCAUAUACUAAUUUAUUUUAUAAAAUUUAUAGCACCAAACAUGCCAUUUUUCAUGGAUGGAGAAAAGUGAGACAUGGGAAGAUAGUUGCAAAAUUUCUGGGAAGAUAUACUUUUUUAAAAAUAUAUUAAUUGAUAAUUAAAUAAAAAAUAUUUGGAUAAAUUAUCUAGUUGGUGAUCCAAUUCUUUGAACGUUUUUAUUUUAAUCACUCAAAUUUAAAAAAAAAACUUAUAAUUUAAUCACCACCCAUUAAAAUUUUUCGGCAAAUUUAUCCACUAAUCAAAAUUCUCCUUCAUUCUUCUUUUAUGUUUUGGUAAUAUUUCUUUCUCCUCCUUCCCUAACCCAACUUUGUUCCCUUCCCAUGCCCCUGCUUCCAGCACCCGACUCGGCCAUAUCACCCCACACCAAUUCUUGAUAACUAGAGAUGCAUUCCCCUACUCUAGAACUACCCUCUGUUGUGUUAUAUACAUCUCAUCAUUGUUUGAAUUAUCUCCUUGAGGUUGUGCUGGUGGAGGCUGCAUUACCAUUUUUGGUCCUUGUUCUUGCUUUGAACUUGAUGGACGUCGAAACCACCAAAAAUAAUUCUUACAAUUAAAAUAACUCUAAAUAGUAGUAAAGAGUGUAGUAGGGUCGAGUCCACAUGGAUUGGUAUUAUAAUCAACUUUUGCGUUUAACUUAUGAUUAGAAUUUCUGUCGUGUCGAUAGCCGUGGCAAUAGUCAUGCCUCCGACUCCAAAUGAACCUAUUGAAAAAUAAACAAAUAAAUCAGGGGAUUUUUAAAAUGUUUAGAAACUAAAUAAUUGAAAUAACAUAAAUAAACAAUUAAUUAAAUUUGAAAUAAAAUUAAAUUGGGAAUUAAAUUUGGAUUUUGUAAACAAAGAUAAUAAGCUUUAGCCCUAGACUCGGUGGAUUCCGGAUUUUGAAUCAAUCCUUAAAAAUUAAUUUUCUCCUCCAAAUAAUAAGCUGGUUAUAGCACUUAAGAAUGUCAUAACUGUCAAUUCUUUCUCUCGUAGUUGAUCCCGGCACGACCUGCAAACCAACCAUUACCGAUUAUCUAACCGAGAUACACGCAUUUUCGAUUCAAGAUUCUGACAGCCUUGCGUUCUGAAGAACCUAACUCAGAUUAACGGCAUCAAUCGCACGGGUAGUUUAAACCCGAUCAUUCCUCCCUUGAUUUAUUCUCGGAUAUCUGAAUACAGCACGGCUAACUCGUUUUCCCAACUAUCCACAAACAUGACUCCAACCCAGUGCCCUUUUUUUAUUUGAAAUAGAGUUAACUUUAAAGGAUGAAUUUGUCAAUCUUGAUACUUAGGAAAAUAGUGAAUAUCGAUUGAAAAGAUUUUUAGUAUGGAUACGUAUCUCACGAUUUCCGACCGGAAAGAAUGCCAACCUAAAGCUAAAUUACAAUUUAGUGAAGCAUGGAUUUAAUCAUGCUUUGGUUGGCUAUGGAGUGGAUUUAAAUGAAAAUCGCGGAAAUUGAAAAAGGAAGGGACUUGGAAAGCAAUUAAACAAAUUUUGCAAAAAAUAAUUAAAUGGAAAUGAAAGUAGCACUAGCCACUGACUCAUGAAUUUGGAAGGAAAAUAAUAAUUCUUAUUUAAUUCCAAGUGAAAUCAAGUGUCUUUUCAAGCUACCACAAAUGCCUUAUUUAUAUAUAUAAUUUAUUAAAUUUGACCUAAUUGCCCAUUACACAUAAUUAAAAUUAAAUAAAAAUAAAAUCAGAUUUUAUUCUUAUUUUAGCUUUUACAAAGUCAAAAGAAAUCAGAUUAGUCUUUGAUUAUUUCUAAAUUUUUUAUUUGGUACCACUUUAUUGACUGUGCUGCAAAUUAGUAUUUUUUUUCUCAUUUUUUUGAUUCAUAGCAUUCAAUUGCAUUCCUGCCAAGAUUAAAAUAUAAAAUUACUAAUUUAGCUAGGAUUAAUUCAAGACUUAACCGAUUUAAUCACAAAAAAUAAUACAAAUUUAACAUGUUAUAAGAACUUUCAAGGGAAAACAACCUCAUUAUAUUAUCCAGUUAGAACCCAAAAUAUAGGUGCCAUCAUUAAGAACAACAAGUUAUUGUACAACACAAAACCGCAAGUGCUCAACCCAAGGUUCCUUACCAUAUGCUAAAUGUAAACCGUUUCAGUAGCGAUGGUAGCCAAACGCAAACGCCCAUAAUAUGCAAUAAAAGUAAAAGCGGAGCUACAUAAUAGUACCACCCAAAAUGAUCAAAAGAGACAUAAAUGUGAGCUUUGAAGGACAAGGCUGCCUCCUAAAGGUUGUAAAAGCCAAGGCAACCAAAAGGGGUGUCAAUGAUCUAAACACUAUGAAAGUCUCCACAUUGACAUGGUUCAUGACGUAAAAAUCCAAACUUGCCCAAUACCCACCCUAAAGCAAAAGUUAAGUAAUGUAAUGCAAUCAAUAAAUCUGGGUAAUUGAAUUUGGUAAUUGCAACUUUGUUUAUAACAGCGCGUAAGCUUGAACAAAAUGCUUAAACUGCUUGUAGCAUUGAAGUUUUUUAGUCGAUUCAAAUCUAAUGGUUGACAUUUUGGUGACCCAGAAAGAUUUGUAAGAUUCAAAUGAAGAAAAUGGAAUAAAAUAAUAAUAAAAAUGCAGUUGCAGCAAUACAAGAAAGAGUUUAAAGCUUUAACAGAGAAGAAACUGCAGAGAAUAGUUUUUAUUUAUAUAUAUGUAUUUAAGUUAUUCAGUAUUCAGCCCUUUAAAUAGCUGAGUUACAACGUAGGUUGUUUCCAAAAAUAUCAAUUCUGAGAAUCAGAAUACUAACAAUUCCCUUCAAAAUAGGGAUAUGCUCUAACUGUGAAACAAAUUUAUUGGAUUUCAAAUAAACAAGAAAUCAAACUAACGUUCCUUAAGCAAAUAACUAACACUCCUCCUUGGUUAAGGAACUGCAAACUCCAAUUCUCUGCCUUAGAUACUCGAACAUGUUGGCUGGAAGCGACUUUGUAAAUAAGUCUGCUAGUUGUUCUUCAGACUUGCAGUAAACCAAAGUAACUUCACCAUUCUGUUGUACUUCCCUCAAGAAGUAAAGUUUGAUGUUGAAAUGCUUGGUCUUCCCAUGGAACACUGGAUUUUUUGAGAUUGCAAUAGCUGCUUGAUUGUCAACAAAAAUCUCAGUAUCGUUUUUCUGCUCCAUAUGCAAGUCACACAUUAUCUUUUUCAGCCAUAACACUUGAUUAGCUGCUGCAGUUGCUGCAAUGAACUCUGCUUCUGCAGUGGAUUGAGCUACAAUCUCUUGUUUUUUUGAAGACCAUGAGAAAAUUCCAGAACCUAGGCUGAAACAAUAUCCUGACGUACUUUUCAUAUCAUCAAAAGAUCCAGCCCAGUCACUAUCCGAGAACCCAUACAACUUGAAGUUUUGGGACAUCUCAAACUUGACACCGUAAUCAACAGUACCUUUGAUAUACCUCAAUAUUCUUUUUGCUGCUCUCAAAUGCAUUUCACUAGCACAAUGCAUAAAACGAGAUAAAAUACUUACAGCAAACAUGAUGUCGGGCCUUGUUGCAGUGAGAUACAUUAGACAUCCAAUCAAGCUUCUAUAGUAUCCUUCAUCAACUUUAUCGACUCCAUCUUCUUUCAUCAGCUUCUCCUUUUGAUUCAUUGGUGUGCUCAUGGCUUUACAUUCAUCCAUCUGAAAUUUCUUCAAAAUUUCUUUUGCAUAUUUUUCCUGACAUAUCAGCACCUUGUUCUUACAUUGCUUGAUCUCCAUUCCAAGGAAAAAAGUCAUAAGACCAAGAUCUGUCAUUUCAAACACUUGCAUCAUUUCUUGUUUAAAUUUCUCAACCAGCAUUGUAUUAUUUCCUGUCACCAAAAGAUCAUCAACAUAUAGUGACACAAUGAGAGUAUCUACUUCUUUAUGUUUCACAUAAAUAGUGGAUUCUGAGAAGCUUUUAACAAAGCCAAGACUUAACAAAUGAGUAUCGAUCUUGCUGUACCAAGCUCUUGGAGCUUAUUUUAGGCCAUAGAGAGCCUUUUUGAGCAGGUAAACUUUUUCUUUUUCGCCUUGCUUCACAAAUCCCUCAGGUUGCUCCACGUAUAUUUCUUCUUGUAAUUCGCCAUUCAAAAACGCUGAUUUGACAUCUAAUUGGAACACUUUCCAGCCUUUUUGUGCCGAUAUUGCAAGCAACAAUCUGAUCGUAUCUAAUCUUGCAAUAGGAGCAAACGUAUCAGAAUAAUCAACACCAUAAAUUUGAGCAUACCCUUUAACGACGAGCCUUGCUUUGUAUUUGUUGACGGAGCUGUCGGCAUUAAACUUUGUUCGGAACACCCAUUUGACUCCAAUAACUUUUCUCCCUUCAGGCUUUUCUACCAGCUCCCAUGUCUCAUUUUUGUUAAUCAUUGUCAUCUCUUCCUCCAUUGCUUUCCUCCAUUUUGGAUCUUUUAAUGCAUCAUCAUGGCUGGCUGGUUCGCAAACUGCCACAUUGCAUCUUUGAUAGAUAUCUGAAAGUAGCCUUGUACCUCUAACUGGAGGAUCAUCUUCUAACUCAUUCAUCCAUUCGUCGGUUGUUUCGAAAGCACCUUUCGGUUCUUGAGACAUCUCUUUUUUCUGUGAAAUCAUCCAAUCCCACUGCUCGUCCUCGUUGAAAUGUACAUCUCGGCUAAUUGUCAAUUUUCCGGUUUGAGGAUGAUAAACCUUGUAGGCUUUUGAAACUGAACUAUAUCCCACGAAGAUGCCAGGAAUUGCCUUCUUAUCAAGUUUGUCACGUUUAACCUUUGGAACAUGAACAAAACAUAUGCAGCCAAAUACUUUAAGAAAGCUAAGUGAAUGUUUAUAACCGUACCAAGCUUCGAAUGGAGUCUUGUCUUCCAAAGCUUUGGUUGGAAGUCGGUUCUGUAAAAAAACUGUCGUGUUGGUUGCCUCUGCCCAAAAUGUCUUUGGCAACUCCUUUUCAUGCAACAUACAUCUAGCCAUCUCCAUUACGGACCUAUUCCUUCUCUCGCUGACCCCAUUUUGUUCCGGAGUGUAUGAAGCAGUAAGCUGAUGUUUAAUGCCAGCUUCUUCGCAAAAUAAAUUGAAUUCUGCCGAAGUAUACUCCUUCCCGUUAUCGGAUCUCAACACCUGAAUUUUGCAGCCACUUUGAUUUUCUACCAUUUUCUUGAACUUCCAAAACACACCAGCCACUUCUGAUUUGAAUUUCAAGAAAAAAAUCCAGCACAUUCUUGUAAAAUCAUCAAUGAAAAUAAUACAAUAAAUGCUACCUUGUAAAGAUGGUGUUCUUUGUGGUCCGGCAACAUCAGUAUGAAUUACUUGCAACUUUUGAGAACCUCUCCAAGUUGAUUUCGGAAACGGCAGCCUAUUUUGUUUACCGAAUUGACAGGCGGCACAAUUUGGAAGAUGAUCAUCAAGUUCUGGCAUUCCUUUUAUCAUGUCUUUCUUCUUCAUUUUCAGCAUUCUUUGAAGAUGACAGUGACCAAGCCUUUUGUGCCAAAUUUCCGUAGUGCAAACUUUGUUGACGUAGGCUAUUUGCUCCUCCUCCGUUGGAUCAAAUGAGAAACUUUUACCCCUCAUUUUAACCCGUAAAAUCUCUUUUCCAGCAACAUCAUAAAUGCAACAAUAGGAAUUUUCAAAGGAUACUUUAAAUCCUUUUUCUAUAAGCUGGCCAACACUCAACAAAUUUUUAUCAAUUUCAGGAACAUAAAGUACAUCUGAGAUUGUUUUUGUACCUGAACUUGUUGUAAAUGCCACGGUUCCCGACCCUUUUGUGGAAAUAUAGCCACCAUUUCCAAUUCUGACCUUCAUGACUCUCGGCUUCAAAUCCUUGAAGAGAGUUUUGUCCGGAGUCAUAUGGUUUGUACAACCACUGUCAAUCAACUAGCUUUCUGAAGAACUUUUAGUUGAAAAACAUGCUGCGACAAAUAUCUGAUCUUCCUCGUCUUGAUCAGCCACAUGGACUUCUUUAAGCUUCAACUUAUUGCUUCUGCAAACCACGGCUUCAUGUCCAAGUUGAUUGCAUUUGGUACAUUUAGCAUCUGGUCUCCACCAACAUCUGAACGGUGGAUGGCCUUUCUUUUCGCAGUGCUGACAAGGCAGAUAGUCUUUCUUUGAUUUUCUACCCUUACCUCGAGUGUGAGUGUUCGAAGAAUUUGCUGCAGAUGUUACUUGUGUUUUUCUCUCAGUAUUCUUCUUGUGCUUUCCUCCUUCCUGGUGCCUAGCUAGCAAAGCUCCUUCUACUAUUUGUUCUUGCCUCAUGAGUCUUCGCUGUUCUUGAGCUUGCAAAGAAUUCAUCAAUUCUGCCAAACUGAGUUUAGACAUAUCUUUUGUAUUUUCCAAGGUGGUUAUUGAAGCUUCAUAUCUUUCAGGCACUGUUACAAGAAUUUUUUCAACAAUUCUAGAAUCUGGAAAUUUAGUGCCAAGUAACCUUACCUUGUUGGCAAUUUCAUACAAUCUGUCUUGGUACUCUUUGAUUGUUUCUGACUCUUUCAUCCUUUGCAAUUCAAACUCCCGUAUUAAAUUUAGCACCUGCAUUCCUCGUAUCCGGUCAUUUCCUUCAUAUUCUUCUUUGAGAUAGUCCCACACUUCUUUUGCUGAUCGGAGAGUGAGAACUUUUGUGAAAACGUUUGUUGAAAUAGCAGCAAACAGAGUUGAUUUUGCCUUAGCUUUUCGGGUCUUCUUUUCCUUGUGAGUUUUGAUUUGGACCAUGGUAGGAUUGUUCGGCAGCGGAGGUAUUUCGUAAUCCUCUUCCACGGCCUCCCAAAGAUCCAAAGCCUCAAGGUAAGUCUCCAUCUUUACUGCCCACAGAUGAUAAUUCUGACCAUCAAAAACAAGAGGAGCAAUUUGAGAAAAGCUGGUUUCGGUCUCCAUUUCACACACAGAUCCUUUAAGAAAAUAGCUCGGAUACCAAUUGUAAGAUUCAAAUGAAGAAAAUGGAAUAAAAAAUAAUAAAAAUGCAGUUGCAGCAAUACAAGAAAGAGUUUAAAGCUUUAACAGAGAAGAAACUGCAGAGAAUAGUUUUAUUUAUAUACAUGUAUUUAAGUUAUUCAGUAUUCAGCCCUUUAAAUAGCUGAGUUACAACGUAGGUUGUUUCCAAAAAUAUCAAUUCUGAGAAUCAGAAUACUAACAAUUCCCUUCAAAAUAGGGAUAUGCUCUAACUGUGAAACAAAUUUAUUGGAUUUCAAAUAAACAAGAAAUCAAACUAACGUUCCUUAAGCAAAUAACUAACAAGAUUAUAAAUUUAUUCUCAAAAAAUAACUAACACCCAAAGUUAAAAACAAUGGCAGAUGCAUUAAUGGGAAUUAUAACAGGAUGAGGGUAGUAGAGAAUGUUAUAUGAUUUGACAAGAAAAAUCAACCAAUAAACAAAUUUAAAAGUAUAAUGAUGAAAUUAAAAGAGAAAUACAAUGGAAACAGAGAUCGAGAUGAAUGGUUGUGGGAAGAGCUGAAACGAGGUUUUAUGGAGAGAAGAAAGGUAUGGGGUUGGCCAUUGAGGCGUAAAGGCUGUGCACUAUAAGCAAAAUCAGCGUGUUUCAGAGGUUGUUUCCCCACGUCCCACGACUCUGGUUAGGGAAGAAUGAUGAAAUAUGACCAUGAAAAAAGUGAAAAGAAAUUUUGAUUGGUGGAAAAGUUUGACUUGGUCAAAGAAGUAUUUUAUAGUGGAUUUGGUGUGCCAAGUCAGACGUCCAUUAUGGGGCUACAAUAAAAAAAAUUCUAAGGCAGUGACUAAAGUACAAAUCUUUUAAUUUGAGUGAUCAAACUAGAUAGUUUACCCAAAAUAUUUUUAGGUGACACUGAAACGUGUUCCUCACUUGGCCUCGUAUUCCGAGUGAGCGAAUGUAAAACUUAUCGUCUCAUGGCUGCUUCAAAUGAAUCUGACCACCUUCUUUUUGCACGCACCGACAUAGGUAAUUAAUGUUACUUAAGUGACACGAAUAUUAAGUGGGAUCGAAAAGCUAAAGAGGAGAGAGAGAAGAAAUAAAAUGGAGAGCGCCGGUGUAGUUUCAACCACAACUCCGACGUCUUUCAGGCUCCGAUGGGACGUGUUCCUCAGUUUCAGAGGCGAAGAUACUCGUCACGGUAUCACCAACGCCCUGUAUUGCUCGCUUGUGGGAGAAGGCUUGCGAGUCUUUCGAGAUGAUGACGCUUUGAGACGUGGAGACGAGAUCGCACCGAAUUUGGUGGAAGCCAUCGAAGACUCGGCUGCUUUCGUUGUCAUUCUCUCUGAAAAUUACGCUACCUCCCGUUGGUGCCUUGAAGAAUUGGCGAGGAUCUGCGAGUUGCGUAGCCGGAGCCGGAGCCGGAGACUGGUUCUGCCUGUGUUCUUUGGGGUUGACCCCUAUCAUGUUCGAAAACAGAGGGGACCUUUUAAGGAAGCCUUCUUUAGCCACGAAAACAGAUUCGGAGAAAAACAGGCCAACAGAUGGAGGGAAGCCAUGGCCAAAGUUGGUUCCCUUGCUGGUUUAGUUAAAAGGUAAGCUUUUCCCCUUUUGUCUACUAAUUACCUCAAAUCUCUCGUGUUUCUGCAAUUAUUUUAAUUAAAUAUUUUGAUAUAAAUUUAAGAAAUUAAGAAUCACACUACCAUGCGAGUGAGGAAAGAAUCUUAAUUUUAAAAAAAUUAAGAUAAAAUUAUAAAUAACUUAGGUUUUAAAUAAUUUUAUUGAGAUUUAAGAAGUUAGAAAGAUAAAUUUAAAUUUAGUGUUAAUGAUUGUUUUAGGUUUUUAUUUAGUUAACAAUCUAUAUUUCAAAUUAAUUCGCUUAUCUAGCUUUCAUACACACAAAUUGAUAGUGUGUGUUAUUUAAAUUUUAAAUUAAUUGCAAAUUUUAGCUUAUAAUUAAAAAAAAAAAGUAGAAAUUUGUGUUUAUUAUUAAGUAAUUUAUUGCAUGAUUAUAAAAUGAAUUUAGUUAAUAUAAGGUGUUUAUGAGCCGUGGUCCUAUGGUAUUAACUAUUAAUAUAAUGUAUAGUUGCUUUAGUCUAACCCUCAAAAAAAUUUGAAAUGAUUGAAGUUUUUCUAUUUAGAAUUGUCUUGGGUCUAAUUUCUAUUACUUUGGUUGGAUUAAUCGUAACUGCAUAUUUACAAUACAAGCCUGGUGAUCAGUUAAACCUUUGAUUAAUUAACUUACCUUACCUUUUUUUACUAACCCCUUUAAUUCUUUAAUUUUAAUUUAAUUCAAUGAGGUUAAAUUCGAAUUGCUGUUCAAAAUUUUUUCAGUUUGGUGUAAUUUUCGAACUAACAAAAGUAAAAUCACGCUCUGUAGGAUUUGAACCUAUGACAUUGGGUUUUGGUCUUGAACUAUGAACAUUAAAUUUUGUUCAAAACCAUUUAUAUUUAUAAACAACUAACUAAAUUCAUUUAAGCUUAUUUAUAUAUUUUUUAUUAAAUAAAAUAUAAUUAUUUUUAUUUAAUAUUUAGUAAUUAUAUAUAUUUUGUCAUCUUUUACUAUCAAUAUUUUUUUUCCUUUUAUUAAAUCUAAACAUAUACAAUUUAAAAUUUUUUAACAUUUACAUUAUAGUAUAAUAUAUUUAAUUUUUAUAUAAUAUAUAAAUUACUUGAUAUACUCAUGACCAGUGUUUACCCCUUUAAUAAGCCUACAGAACGUGGAUGAUUUGUAAUUGGGCUCGCUUCAGUAGAUAUCUUGAAAAACCAAAAUAAAAUAUAACACAAUCUCCGAUUCAUUCAAGGAUUUGAUCAUUGAUACAAAAAUGAUUUCAUUGCUUUUUAAUAAAUUGGUUAUUGUUGCUGACGAUUGUCUAGCAACUUAAUCUUUUUACCUUCUUGAUAACCAAGACAAUCGUCAUUAAUUACUUUCCUUAUUGACAAAUAAUAUUAUAACAAUCGUUUAGGAUUUAAUCUAUCAAUAGUAACAAAAAAAAAAUCCAAUUCUGACCAACAAACAUACAAUCAAGGUUCAUUUAAGUUAGAUCGAAUGCUCACACUACACGAACAAAGAUGUAGUAACUCAAGUUAUGACUAAAAUAUUGGAACUGUAUUGUAUUAAAAGUCCAAAUCGCAAAAACUUGUCAAAAUUAUACUUUAAACUCAUUUUUCUCUAAUUAGUCUCUAAAUUUAUAAUAAAUAAAAUAUAUUUAUAAAUGAUAUAAUUAAAAACAUAAUUAGAGAAAAAAUAUAACAAAUAAUUUAGAAAUUACGCAUUUUAUCAGUAACAUUGCUUUAAUAUAUUUUUCUAAACUUCUCAUUCUUAUAUGUUUAUGCACACUCAAAAUCUCGUUCAAUAGCAAUCAAGUUAAAAGUCUAUCAGCUAAACUCAAUUAAUAUUUUAAUUGUGAUCUUUAAACCAAUAACAUUAUCCAAGAGAAUGCCUUUACUUUAUCAUGAAUGAAAGAUAGUGGUUGGCAAUUAGAAUACCUAUAAAGCUGUAAAUUAUAUUAGAGUAGAAGUCGAAAUCCCAGAUUUUUUAAAAAAAAGAAAGCAAGGCUCGACACAUUUAUCUAAGAUGUUCCAAGUUUUCAUUGCUGCAAUAGUUUGAUGCAACUCUUCUUUACCAAGUAGGGUCUUCUAACUUUUACGGUGCAUUCAGGUUGGUUGACAGUGAUGAAAGGGAAUUGAUUCGGGUUCUGCUGAGAGAAGUUCUGCAACAAGCGAAUAAUACUCCUGUGGAAGUUGCAACCUACGCAGUUGGACUGGAUACGCGGGUGACAGAGCUAACAAAUCUCUUAGACGUGAAGUCCAAUGGCAUUAAAGUUGUGGGGCUUCAUGGGAUUGGCGGGAUUGGGAAGACAACCCUUGCCAAGGCUGUCUUUAACAAGAUACUCGUACACUUUGACCACCGCAGCUUUAUCUCAAAUGUCAGAGAACUUUCAAAACAAGGAGACGGUUUAGUAUCUCUCCAGAAAAAACUCAUUGGUGAUCUCUUCGGUUCCACUGGUAAUUUUCAUCUUCCUGCGGAUGAAUUCGAUGCUAAUGCCUCGAGAAUCAGAAAGAUUAUUAAUGAAAAUAUUAAUGAAAAAAGGGUUCUAAUUGUCCUGGAUGAUGUCGACCAAGAAAACCAACUGAAUGCACUAGGACUAGGUGCAAGAGUCAAAUGGCAAAAUGAUGGCAGUAUUCGGAUCAUUAUUACAACAAGAAAUAAAGGAGUUUUAAAUGAAUGUUAUGUAAAUCGGACUUACGAGGUCAGGGAAUUGCAUUUUGAUCAAGCACUAGAACUUUUCAGCUAUCAUGCGCUCAGAAGAGAGAAACCAACAAAAGAGUGAGAAAUUGUCCAAGCAAAUUGUAGCUCUCACUGGAAAUUUACCUUUGGCUUUGGAAGUGUUCGGUUCGUUUUUGUUGGGCAAGAGGAACGUAACAGAAUGGGAAGAUGCUUUGAACAAGUUGAGAGAUGUUCGUCCACACGAGCUUCAAGAUGUGCUGAAGAUAAGCUUCGAUGCGCUAGACAGAGAAAAUCAACGCAUAUUCCUAGAUGUAGGCUGCUGUUUUCUCGAUUUGCAUACCAAGAGAGAGGACGUGGUUUCAAAGCUGAAAUAGGGUUAGGAGUUCUUGAGGAAAAAUCACUGAUUAAGUUCACUGAGGGCGAUGCUCUUUGGAUGCAUGAUCAACUUAGGGACAUGGGAAAAGAGAUGGGUUUUUUACAAAGAUUUUACAAUAAAAAAGUGGUGGAGUAAUGAUCUAAAGUUUUAAGGACCUGAUAUGUAAAAUUACCAUUUAAUUGUUUAGAAAGUGAAAUGGUGCUCCUGAUAGUGUGGCGGCGCUAAACUUGAAAAGUAGCUAAGUGACUUCUUAAUCCUCCUUAUUUAUUAUUUUUUUUUAUUUUCCUUCAACUCACUUUUUUAUUUAAUAAAUAAACCUUCAACUUAUUUUUGUAGUUAAAUAAGCUAUUAAUCUAUGAUUUUUACUCAUAAAAGUCUUUUAUUUUAUUUUUAAAGUAAAUAUAUUUUACUUAAAGUAAAACUAUUUAAAAAUGUAUAAACUAAUUCGCACUUUAUGUUUAUGUGAAUUUGAUGAGAAUAGUUUAUUAAAUAAAAAAAUUUAUGUUUAUCAAAGGCUUAUAGCUAUAAUAGUCCCUUAAGAAAAAACCAAAAAAAGUUACUAAGCCCCUUGACUUAAUUUGAACCUAGUUGAGCCCUUCUCAUUAACCUGAAAAAUUAAUUAAGCUCUUACAUUAAUAAUUUUCACAUUUCGUUACAUUAACCAUUAAAAUCAAUUGACGGACCAAUUAGAUGACGAAAUAUGAUAGCCUGUGAUUUAAUUUUUCAUAUCUCAAAAAAAAAUCAUAAAAAUAUCUAUCUAUAAUAUAUAUCAAAGCACGAGUCUUGAAAAAACUUUUGAACUGACAAAAAUAUCCUUUAUUGUUAAUUAUAUUACUAAACUACAUAAGAAUAAUAAUUUAUUAAUAUUAUUAUAUAAUAAUAAAAAGUAAGAUUAAUUAAAAUAAUAAUAUAUUAAUGUGAAAUUAAUUAAUUUGGUCAUAUAUUAUAAAGGCUCUACUUAAAAAAAACAUAAUAUAUUAUUAAUUAAUAAAACUAUAAAUCUAUAAAAUCAUUGAAUAUAAUUGGAUGAAUUUAAAAUAAUAAGAAUUCAAGUUUUUUAAUUAAAUAAAAAUAUUUUUAUAUAUAAAUACUAUUUAUAAAUUUAAAAAUAAUUAUAAUUUAAUAGAAGUUGUGAGAAUUAUAUAUUUCAAAAUAAUUAUAAUUUAAAAUACAAUUAUUAUUAAAAAUAUUGUGCUAAUUUUAAAAUAGAAUUGUUAUUUAAGUAGAACUCUAAGCAUAAAAUAUAGGAAAAAGACAAAAAAAAUUGUGAUAAUUAUAAUUAUAAUUUAUUGUUAUUAGUUAAAAAAUUUGACGAUCCUAUUUUUAUUAAAGUAAAGUAGAGUUAUUACUUAAUUAGAAUUCCAAGUAUCUUAAUAUCACUUAACUAAUAUUAGAUUUAAUUUAAAAAAUUAAUAGAAAUACUAGGCAUGCUUUAUUAAAAAACCAAAAGUAAUAAUAAAACUGAUCACCCAUAAAUGUAACCCAAAUAGAAAAAAUACAUUAUAAUUAUAAACUAUUCUCAUCAAAUUUAGUAAAUUUUUUUAUUUAAUAAACUAUUCUCAUCAAAUUCACAUAAACAUAAAAUACGAAUUAGUUUAUACUUUUUUAAAUAGCUUUACUUUAGGUAAAAUAUAUUUACUUUAAUAAUAAAAUAAAGGGUUUUAUGAGUAAAAAUCAUAGAUUAAGAGCUUAUUUAACUACAAAAAUAGGUUGAGGGCUUGUUUAUUAAAUAAAAAAGUGAGUUGAAGGGGAAUAAAAAUAAUAAUAAAUAAGGAGGGCUAAAAAGGCAAUUAGCCACUUUUCAAGUUUAGUGCCGCCACACUAUCAGGCGGCACCAUUUCACUUUCUAAACAACAAAAUGGUAAAUUUGUAUAAUAGUCCUUAAAACUUUAGAUCAGUACAUUUCAGUCCUGUGCCGCCUGUGGCAGGCCCUCCACCAGUUUGGUGCCGCCUGUGGCAGGCCCUCCACCACUUUUUUUGUAUUAUUUUGGUAAAUAAAAAAAUUAAUAUUAUUUUUGUAUUUUUUUAUUUUUUUGUAAUAUUUUUGUAAAAAACCAAAAAGAGAUUGCGCAAAAUGAAAACGACGAUCCUGAAAUGCGCAGCAGGCUCUGGGAUCGAAACCAAAUCAUGACUGUCCUGCAAAAUCACAAGCUAUAUUAUAUAUAAGAAUUGUCGUGCAUAUUUGAUACUGUUGAUACAUUACUUCGUUAUACUAUUGACAAUAGGGAACAAGAAGCAUUGAGGGUAUUGUAAUGGACAUGAAGAAAGUCUAGAAUGGGAAUCAGGUGGUAGUCCAUACAAAACCAUUUAAAUCAAUGGUUCAUCUAAGAUUGCUUCAGGUGAAUCAUGUGAAACAGGAAGGAAAGUUUAAAUUUGUUCCUCAUGAACUCAAGUGGCUUCAAUGGCAAGGAUGUGCAUUGAAAACUCUUCUUUCUGAUUUUUGUCCUCAAAAGCUUGCUGUCCUUGAUCUCUCAGAAAGCAAAAUCGAAAAGCUAUGGAGCUCUUACUCUAACAAUGUAAUGACAUAUCGUUUUAGAUAUACGCACUGUCUACUUUCUUCUGCUUGUAACUAGCUAGUUUGUGGAAAUAUAUAAGCAAUAUUUGUUUGUUUCAGGUUGCUGAAAACUUGAUGGUCAUAAACCUGCGUGGUUGCCCUCAUUUGGCUUCUCUUCCUGAUUUAUCAGGACACAAAAACCUGCAAAAGAUUGUUCUCGCGUAUUGUGUAAAACUGAUAAACAUUGACAAGUCAGUUGGUACUUUAAUUUCCUUGCACCACUUGCAUAUGACAGGCUGUUUUAACCUUGUUGAAUUUCCAAGUGAUGUCUCAGGGAUGAAAAACCUUCAAACCCUUGUCCUCACCGAUUGCUCCAAUUUGAAGGAAUUACCCGAGGACAUAGGCAGCAUGAGGUCCCUCAAAGAACUAUAUGUUAAUCGAACUGGCAUCGAGAAACUGCCAGAAUCUAUUUACCAUCUCGAGAAACUUGAAAAACUGAGCCUAAAUCGUUGCAUACAUAUCAAACAGUUGCCAAGAUGUGUAGGACAGCUAGCUUCUCUCAAGAAACUUCAUCUUGAUGGAUCUGGAUUACAAGAAUUGCCUGAUUCUGUUGCAUAUUUGGAGAACCUGGAGAAAUUAAGUUUAAUAUCUUGCGAAUCAUUGACUGCAAUUCCUGAUACUGUUGGCAAUCUCAACUUAUUGAAAGAGUUGUUCAUAAAGGGUAAAGCAAUCACAGAGUUGCCACAUUCUAUCUGUUCUUUAUCAUAUCUCAAGUGCUUGAAUGUUAGAGGCAUACAGAUGAGGAAAUUGCCAAACUCAAUUCGAGGACUGAUUUCUUCAGUGGAACUUGAUAUAGAAGGCCCAUCAAUUACGUGUCUCCCAAGUCAGAUUGGUCAUUUGAGAUUACUUGAGAAGCUUGUGAUAUUGAAUUGCACAUCACUUGAAUCUCUGCCAGAUUCAACUGGGAGCUUGUUUGCUCUCACUUUUAUCAACAUAUGCAACGCCAGUAUUACUGAGUUGCCAGAGUCUUUUGGGAUGUUGAAAAAUCUCAUCACGUUAAGAUUGGACGAGUGUAGAAAGCUUCAUAAACUUCCAUCCUCAAUGGGAAAUUUGAAGUCAUUGCAUCAUUUGUAGGUGAAGGAAACUGCUAUGACAGAAUUACCAGAAAGCUUUGGCAUGCUCACAUGUUUGAUGGUGUUGAACAUGAGAAAGGAUCCCAACAAGCAAGAGCAACCAAAUUCAUCAUUUGUAGCGUUGCCAGCAUCUUUCACGAAUCUCUUAUCGCUGCAAGAACUUGAUGCUCGGACCUGGAGAAUAUGUGGUGAAAUCCCAGAUGAUUUUGAGAAGCUAGCAGCAAUAGAGAUUCUAGAUUUGGGUAGCAAUGAUAUUUAUAAACUACCAUCAAGUCUAAAGGGACUGUCAUUUCUAAGAGAUCUCAAGCUGCCCAAAUGUGAAAAGCUUCAGUCCCUGCCUCCACUUCCCUCUAGUUUGGAGAAGUUGAAUCUUGCUAACUGUAUAUCAUUGACGACAUUAUCUGAUCUUUCCAAUAUAAAGGGCUUACAAGAAUUAAACCUUACAAACUGUGAGAAAUUGGUAGAUUUGCCAGGCCUUGAGUCCCUAACGUCCUUGAGAGAAUUGUAUAUGAGUAACUGUAGUACCUGCGCUUCAGCAGCAAAGAAAAGACUCUCCAAGGUUAGUUUUCUUUCUUUUAGAAAGUUUAUAUUUAAUGCACCUUCAGUUUAUAAAGCUUGGUAUAUUUAUAAUGACAAAACAUCUUUUUAUAAUCUUUCCAUGUAGUAUAUUUUAUCAUCUCACCGUAAUGUUUAGAUUCAAGUUUCAAGAUAAAAACACACUAAGUAAUAUUUUUCCAAUUUUGUGAAGAACUUAAAUAUGGUAUAAAUAGAUAUUAUAUAUAAUAUUUUUUAUUGAGUUUUUUCAAAUAAUAAUUAGCAAAUAAAUCACGUUUGGGAUGGAGCUUUUGAAUAUUGAUGCAACUAAUUUUAAAGGUUUAUCUCAAGAAUCUGAGAAAUCUAAGUAUGCCUGGAAGUAGAAUUCCAGAUUGGUUUACACAAGAUAUGGUUACCUUUUCAAGCCACAAAACCUGUGAUCUCACUGCGAUGAUUAUUGCAGUUGUUGUUUCCAUUAACCAUUAUAAUCCAGAUGAACUGAGAUACCAACUGCCUGCCGUGUCGGACAUUCAAGCACAGAUCUUCAAUGGCGUGGAGGCAAUAAUGACCACUGCAUUGAACUUAAUUGGGGUACCUAGAACCAACCAAGACAAUUGUAUUGUACUGUUUUGCUACGAUGAAAUUCCAGAGCUAAAAUGUGGUGAUUCUGGUGAUUUGCAUGCUAAAAGAAUGUUGAAAGAUUGUGUGUUUGAGCUUUAUUUUCAACAUGAAGAAAAGAGUAUUUUGAUAUGUUAAUGUUCGAUAGUUGAAAUCAACUCAAUUGUUUUACUAGAGUGAACUGAUUUAUCUAGAUGUGAUUUGAGUUGUAUGUAUUUAAGCAUGUGUAUUCACGAGUAUGAAGACGGGUAAUCGAAAUGAAAAAUCUAUAUUUCAAAAAAUAUGAUAUAGAGAAAUACUUAUUGAAAAAAGAUAUAUGAGAUUAAAUUGAUUAGUGAUUCUGGAAAGUUAGUGAAAGUGUUUCAUGAAAGUUGGAAGUAACUUCUUCUGGUAAGAUUUUCGAGGACGAAAAUCCCUAAAGUGGGGAGAGUUGUAGCAGCCCGAUUUUGGGUCUAGAUGGAACAAUGGUUUCGGAACCACAAAUCCGACGAGGAAAAAAUUUAUUUUAAAAUUAUGACAUGGGUUGCAUUAUGAUAGGAAGGUUGCAUGAAAAUACUGAUAUGAAAAUUUUAUCGAUUUAGUGAUUAAUUAGGGAAAUGACUUAUUUGUAUAAAAUGUAGAAUUUGAAUUCUAGAAGCUAGAAGGGUUAACUAGCUAUGAAAUUGUAAUACCCCGAAAAAUACUACAGUAAGAAAGUAAGAUAAUAUCCCUAAUAUGGUAAAAUAAGGAAAUAAAGUGAUAAAAAGGGUAAUUGAGUUAUGUCAAUAUUGGAAAGUAUAUUAUGACAUAUUAAUUCAAGAAAGGAUUAAAUUGCAAAAGUGAGAAAAGUUUUGUUACCCAAGGGUAAAUACUCAAAAUUUGAGGGGUUAAAGUGUAAAUAUGAAAAAGUUGAAGGACCAAUAGUGUAAAUAUUUUAAGGGUGGAAUAAUCUAGAAACUAAGAAAGAUGGAUGAAUUGGGACCAAAUUGAAUAGAUGAAGGAAUUAUGAGGGACUAAAUUGUAAUUUUACCAAAUUAAGUGAUGACUUAAGGAUGAAAUUUUAAAAGAUCUAAAGGGCAAAAUGGUCAAUUAGAAGAAAGAGAAAUCUAGAAAAUAAUGAUGAUGUUGGAGAUAUUUUAGAUUAAAUAAAUAAAUAUUAGUUUAUUAAUAUUUUAAUUUGAUUUUUAAAUGAUAUUUUAUUAUUUUAUUAUUAUUUUAUUUAGUGUAUAUAUGUGGAAGAAAAGAUGAAGAAUCAUCUUCUUCUUCCCCAUGCAACUAACGUAUGAAGAGAAAAGAAAGAGAGAAAAUUUUUUUUCUUUACAAUUUGGUCCUUUUACUAAAAAUUCAUCAUUUUCACUUAGAAAUCAAAAGAAUUUCCAUAUCCAUCAAGAGAGAAAGAUAACAAGGAGACUAUGGGGAGCUAGAACAUCAAGUUAGAUUCAAGAAAUAGAAGUUGGAGGAGGGAGAAAAUCAAGUUAAAGAUUGAAAUCAAUAGCACAAGGUAAGAACAUCAAGAUUUUUAUAUACUUUUGAGUUUGAUAUUAUUGAAAAAGUAGGAAAUUAAUGUUAAGGUAAAGUUUUAUUAUAUAAGGUUUUAUAUUCUUGUUAUGUUAGUAAAGGGAAAUAAGAGAAAGUGAUGGAAAAUAUUGAAGAGAAAGGAAAGGAAAGUGUUAUAAAUUUAGUUAUCAACAUUUUACACUAAAAUAGUUUUGAGACAGCAGCAGUAGUCUGACUUUGAAAAUCUACCAAAAAUCGUAUAAAUUGAAUUAGAGGAUGAAAAAAAUAUGAAAUUAAAUUUUAUUGAGUCUAGUUUCUCAUAGAAUAAACGGUGUAAGUAGUGGAAUUGUAAAUUAUGAGAUAUACUAGGUUUUGUAAGAUAAGGUCAGAAUGAUUUCGGGUUCCCCUGUACUGAAUUUGGAAAAUAAUCAAAAAUUGGAGAAAAUUAAUUAGAAGGUUAAAUUUAUAUUUUUAAAUCCUUAAUGAGUAUAUUUUCAAUAGAAACAAACGGUAACAUCAUUCGAAUUUUUUAGAAAGAGAUAAUUAAUUUUUAGUGAAGAGGGGUCAACGCUGUCGAGCAGUGAAACAGUGGAAAAUUUAAAGAAUAAACUGUACUAUUUGGCUGAACCAAAAAUUAUGAAAAUUUUAUGAUAAUAAUAUAUGUGAGUCUAGUUUUAGGGAAAAUUAACGGACCUUAAUUUUGAGCUCUUUAUCUCCGGAUAAAAAUAAUUUAGUGACUCUGACUCGGGUAAACAACUUUGAAUAUACAUGUGAGUGAAUAGUGAAAUUAUAAUUAAGGUUGUUUAAGUGUGUUAUACACAUUAAGGAUGUGGAAUGGAGUGGAGGAGGAGGAAAAAAAUAUAUGUGAAUAUUUAGAUAAUAUGAGUUUAUUUUAAAAGAGUUAAUUUACAUGUUUAGGUUUAGGGACUAAAUUGAAUAAAAGUAAUAUUUUAAGGGUAAAUUUGUAAAAAUGUCAAAAAGUGACCAAAUUAAAUGAAAUAUUAAUUUAGAUCAAGAUUGGGUGGAAAUUCGAGAAAAUAGAAAAUUACCAAAAUGUCCCUAAAUUUUGGUAUUUCUGCAAUUUAGCUUGGUAAGUUUGUAUGAACUAUAUUCUGUAUAAUUUUAUUUAAAGUGAACGUUAUUUGGUGAUGAAUAUUAUAUAGAUAUGUGUUUUAUUAUCGGAAUUGAAUUGUUAUUGGUAAUAUGUACAAUUAUUAGAUGCAUUGAAAUGAUUAUCGGAAGCUCGAUUGUGGUUGGCAGGAAAUGUUGCAUUAUUUAUAUUGUGAAGAAUUAUAAAAGCAUGUUAAUAAUUUGAAAGUUUUAAUAAUUAAUGGAAUUUUAUAACUCGGUUCAAUACGUUUACAAGUGUAUGUGUUCUGGUAAUGCCUCAUACCCUAUUCCGGUGUCGAAUAUGGGUAAAGGGUGUGACAACAAUGUUCACUUGUGUCGAUAUCCCGCAUAUCGUCCCUUGGUUUCCAUGUUGAAGGAUGGUUUUAAGAUUAAAGUGACCAGGCAAAACGCGCCCUACGUAAAGGGCGUAGAGCUGAAGAAAGCUGGGAUUUUUCUAGUUUAUGAAAAAGAUGAUGAUUAUGGUGGCGAUGAAGAUUCACUUGAUGAGAACCAGCAGUCUGUAUCAGAAAAAUUAGCCAAGUUUUUCAGCUCUCUUGAAGAAAAUGAUGGAAUUGAUCACCAAUCCAACUGCAGCCAUGAAUAAAAGAAGCGCUUCAACUCCAAAGUAAGAAACAAAAAUGUCGCCCAAUCAAAUCGUGCUGCAGUUGGUGCGGGAGGUUAAGCGUAAAAUCAUGAGAGAUUUCAAGGCGUGUAUGCCUGUUUCUAUUAUUUCACUUCACUCAAGUUGAACGCAGUAUACAUUCUUAGGAUCCAUUUGGAUGGAUAAUGAAAUAGAUUUUAGUGAGUCUAAAGACGAGGGUGACAAUAAAAUUAGUAAGACUGGUGAUUGAGAUUAAAAUUAAUGGUGAGAUAAAUGUAAUUUGGAUGUAAAUAACCAAAAAUAGUGAUAAUAGUUAAGGGAGUUGUAGUAAAAAGGUUAAAUGAUUAGUAAAUAUAUAUUUUUAGAAAUUUACCAGGUGACCGUGUCGAAUCCCAUGAAGAUUCGAUAAAUUAGAUUCGAUAUAUUCAAUAACCCAUAUGGUUAUGGGCAUAUUCAAGUCACUUUAAUCCUAUAACAUAACCUAAUUGUUUUUUCAUUCGAACUAUGUUAAUUUGUUCUUGUGAUUAGAAUAAAAGGACAAUUACGAAUCAAUCUAUCUUUAUUAACUAUGUAUUAAUUUAAAUAUUUUACCCCCUAAGCUGAUUAAUUUCCUAGCUAUUCAUAACAAAAGAUUGACUAAGGAAAUAAUAAAGGCUUUAUUCACAAUUUAACCCUUGAGCUAUACUUGUUUUCCCACAUUGAUACUUAAAUAUUUUUUAUAUCAAUUUGAUAUUUGAGUUUUGCAUCAUACUUGUUUUGAUACUUAAAAGUUAAUAAUAUAAAAAAAAUGUCAAUUAAAAUAUGUCACAUCAUUGAUGACAUGGCACAUUGAUCAAGCUGACUUGGUAUUGACCAAUAUUGACCCUGUAUUGACCCACGUUGGUCUAUGUUGACCGAGCAUUGACCAAUCUUUGACCCUCUUUGACUUAGGUUGAAAAGCAAUUGAUGGGUAAAAAAUCAUUGAAAAGUAUAAAAGAAAUAUUUAAAAUGAAAAUAGCUUAUAUAAAAUUAUUUAAAAAUAUUAUAUUAUUACUAUUUUGUUGUUAUUUUCUUGAUAUUGUAUAACUCCUAUUUUAUUAUUAAUUUUACUACUAUUUCAAAAGUAUUUACUUGCUAAGUUGCAUCUAUUUUAGUGUUAUUUAAGUUUUUUUUUAAUAUUCUCUAUUUAUUGGAAAACAUUUAUUUUAAUGGUUAGAAGUAAGUCAAUGAAGAUUGUAUCAAUUUUAGGAUUAAAUUAUAAUAUUAUCAUACACUAACUUAUUUAUUUUAUAAAAUUUAUAGCACCAAACAUGCUAUUUUUCAUGGAUGGAGAAAAGUGAGAUAUGGAAAGACAGUUGCAAAAUUUCUGGGAAGAUAUCCUUUUUUAAAAAUAUAUUAAUUGAUAAUGAAAUAAAAAAUAUUUGGAUAAAUUAUCUAGCUGGUGAUCCAAUUCUUUGGACGUUUUUAUUUUAAUCACUCAAAUUAAAAAAAGCUUAUAAUUUAAUCACUACCCAUUAAAAUUUUUCGACAAACUUUUCCACCAAUCAAAAUUCUCCUUCAUUCUUCUUUUUCUUUUUUGGUCAUAUUUCUUUCUCCUCCUCUUUCCCUAACCCAACUUUGUUCCCUUCCCAUGCCCCUGUUUCCAACACCCGACUCGGCCAUAUCACCCCACAUCAAUUCCUGAUAACUAGAGACGUCUUCCCCUGCUCUAGAACUACCCUCUAUUGUGUUAUAUACAUCUCAUCAUUGCUUGAAUUAUCUCCUUAAGGUUGUGCUGGUGGAGGCUGCAUUUCCAUUUUUUGUCCUUGUUCUUGCUUUGAACUUGAUGGACGUCGAAGCCACCAAAAAUAAUUCUUACAAUUAAAAUAACUCUAAAUAGUAGUAAAGAGUGGUAGUAGGGUCGAGCCCACAAGGAUUGGUAUUAUAAUCAACUUUUGCGUUUAACUUAUGAUCAGAAUUUCUGUCGUGUCGAUAACCGUGGCAAUAGUCGUUUGUGCCUACGACUCCAACUGAACCUGCUGAAAAAUAAACAAAUAAAUCACGAGAGUUUUAAAAUAUUUAGAAAUUAAAUAAUUGAAAUAGCAUAAAUAAACAAUUAAAUAAAUUUGAAAUAAAAUUAAAUUGGGAAUUAAAUUCGGAUUUUGUAAACAGAGAUAAUAAGCUUUAGCCCUAGACUCGGUGGAUUCCGAAUUUUGAAUCGAUCCUUAAAAAUUAAUUUUCUUCUCCAAAUAAUAAGCUGGUUAUAGCAGUUAAGAACGUCAUAACCGCCAAUUCUUUCUCUCGUAGUUGAUCCCGGCACGACCUACAAACCAACCAUUACCGAUUAUCUAACCGAGAUACACGCAUUUUCAAUUCAAGAUUCUGGCAGCCUUACGUUCUGAAGAACCUAACUCAGAUUAACGGCAUCAAUCGCACGAGUAGCUUAAACCCGAUCAUUUCUCCCUUGAUUUGUUCUCGGUGAUCCGAAUACAGCAUAGCUGACUCGUUUCCCUAACUAUCCACAAACAUGACUGCAACCCAUUGCCCUUUUUUAUUUGAAAUCGAGUUAACUUUAAAGGAUAAAUUUGUCAAUCUCGAUACUUAGGAAAAUAGUGAAUAUCGAUUGAAAAGAUUUUUAGUAUGGAUACGUAUCUCACGAUUCCCGACCGGAAAGAAUGCCAACCUAAAGCUAAAUUACAAUUUAGUGAGGCAUAGAUUUAAUUAUGCUUUGGUUGGCUAUGGAGUGGAUUUAAAUGAAAAUCGCGGAAAUUGAAAAAGGAAGGGACUUGGAAAGCAAUUAAACAAAUUUUGCAAAAAACAAUUAAAUGGAAAUGAAAGUAGCACUAGCCACUGACUCAUGAAUUUGGAAGGAAAAUAAUAAUUCUUAUUUAAUUCCAAGUGAAAUCUAAUGUCUUUUCAAGCUACCACUUUUAUAUAUAUAUAUAUAUAUAUAUAUAUAUAUAUAUAUAUAUAAUUUACUAAAUUUGACCUAACUAUCCACUACAUAUAAUUAAAAUUAAAUAAAAAUAAAAUCAGAUUUUCUUCUUAUAUUAGCUUUCAAUAAGUCGAAAGAAAUCUAAUAAGUCUUUCAUUAUUUUCAAGUUUUUGAUUUAGUCCCACUUUAUUGACUGUGCUGCAAAUUGGUCCUUUUUUUGCCCCUUAUUUUGACUCAUAGCAUUCAAUUACAUUUCUGCCAAGAUUAAAAUAUAAAAUUACUAAUUUAGCAGGGAUCAAUUCAAGACUUAACUGAUUUAAUCACAAAAAAUAAUACAAAUUUAACAUGUUAUAAGAACUUUCAUGGGAAAACAACCUCAUUAUAUUAUCCAGUUAAAACCCAAAAUAUUGGUGCCAUCAUUAAGAACAAGAAGUUAUUGUACAACACAAAACCCCAAGUGCUCAACCCAAGGUUCAUCAACAUAUGCUUAAUGUAAACCGUUUCAGUAGCGAUGAUAGUGAAACACGCAAAAACCCAUAAUAUGCAAUAAAAGUAAAAGCGGAAUCACUAGCUACAUACUCAUCAUUUAGUAAAUUUGAUUGUAAAUCAGGAUUCUGGCAAAUCAUGCUAACUGAUGAAUCAAAACCUUUGACAGCCUUUAGUGUUCCUAAUGGUCAUUAUCAAUGGAAGGUAAUGCCAUUCGGUCUAUGUAAUGCCCCACAAGUUUUUCAAAGAUGGAUGGAUUCUAUUUUUAAUAAGUAUAAAAAAAUUUGUGUGGUAUAUAUAGAUGAUAUCUUAGUCUUUUCAAAAACACUUGAAGAGCAUAGAAAACAUCUAAAUGUUAUUUCUCAAGAAUUCCUAAAACAUGGAAUUAUAUUAAGCCCUAAAAAGAUAGAGCUUAAGAAAACAGAAAUUGAAUUUUUAGGAUGAAAAUUAUCAGCUCAUGGUCUUCAACUCCAAGAUCAUAUUAUUGUAAAAAUAAAAGAAUUUCCUGAAAAAAUAGAAGAUAAAAAACAUCUUUCACAAUUUUUAAGAAUAGUUAAUUAUGGAUGAACCUUUUUUCCAAAAUUAGCUGAAAAAAUAGGAGGAUUAUAUGAUAAAUUAAAAAAGAAUAUUUGUUUUUGUUGGACUAAACAAGAUGAAGAAAUUGUAAAAAAAUAUAAAAACAGAAAUUACUUAUAAUCCAAAGGUUUAUUUACCUAAAAAAGGAGAUAAACUAAUUUUAGAAACUGAUGCAUCACAAUAUUAUUGGGGAUGUAUUCUGAAAGCUAAAACAGCUAAUAAUGAAGAACUUAUAUGCGGAUAUAGUUCAGGAAAAUUUAAGCCUAAUGAGGUUAAUUAUAUUAUUUAUGAAAAAGAAUUAUUAGCAAUUAAAAAAGGAAUAAAAACUUUCCUUAUUUAUUUAGCACCUGAAAAGUUCAUUAUAAGAACUGAUAAUCAGGCAGUCAAACAGUUUUUAACUAACAAUAGUUUAAAAACUGUUCCUAGAAGAAUUAGGUGGUAUAAUGAUUUAUGUACUUUUAAUUUUGAAGUUUUUUAUAUUAAAAGUGAUGAAAAUCUACUUGCUGAUUUCUUGAGCAGGCCUCAUGGAUAGAGGUAAACAACCUCUAAUAGUUGGUGAAUGGACAACCGUUCACAAAAAGCCCAACAAAGGGAAAGCAGAAUCAAACUCCAAAAAAGGAUUUGUACCUGCACAAAAACCAUUUUAUCCUAACCAAGGAUAUUAUGUGUCUUAUCCAAUGGUAAACCAACCACUUGGAACAAAUAUUUUAAAUUACCCUAUGAUAAAUCAACCAAUGGGAAAUACAUUUUUAUUGACCCCAAACACGGCGAGUCAAUUAAAUUGGUCCCAAAAUCUGAAUUCAGUAUCACAAACAAGUUAUGCUGAAGUCAUUAAUGGAGCUGAAAAUUUGUUGAAUCAACAACAAAUUCAAGAUUUAAAAGAUCUUUCAAAAAUUAAAGAUUUUUAUAAUCCUGGUUUAUCACCAGAAUUUUAUGAUUUAUAAAUAAGAUAUGGAAAACCCAUAUUUCAAACCAAAGAGCCAAUUUCCGAAGAGCUCUUACCAGAUUUUCAUCUUUCUUAGUUGAAAAAACAACUAAAGAAAAUGAAGCUGAAGAUUUAUUAUUAAAAUCUAUUUUAUAUAGAGAAUGGGAUGAAUUCCAAAUGGAAUUUAUGGAAAAAGAGGAGAUAAACAAUCUUCUUGAUAUUUUUCAAUAUCUUAUUUAUAAAGGGAAAAAUACCCCUAUUAUAAAUAAAAUAUUUAGAAUUUGUUUAUAUAAUAAAUCUAGACAAAUUUUACCAGUAGAAAUAUUCAACAAAAUUAAUGAAACUAUCUGUAACCAGCAGAUAAUUCAAUUUCAAAAAUCAUUUUCUGAACAUUUUCUACAAUCUUAUGUUUUUACAAAUUUUAUAAGCAAAGAAUAUCCAGCUAUAAAAUUUAGACUGGACCAUGAACCGUUUGAUAUAACAAGUAUCGAAUGGGGUUUUGUUAGAGAAAUAGUAGUACAAAAUUUUUCUUUUCAUCUUUUAAAAGAUUUUCCAGCUGUAGUAAAAUCUUUAUUACAAACCAUCGUAAAAAACGAUGACUUUUUCUAUUAUUUCUAUAUUCAAAUAAGUACUCUUAUUGGUAUUUCUGAAAAAGAAAAAUUUUUUCAGCCAUAUCAAAUAUGGAAAAUCCACAGAAUGCUCGGAAGCCCCCGACUAUCUGCUGUAGAUGAAGACAAAGAUUACUUGGCAAAAACAAUUGACAAGUGUCAAGAUAAUUUAAGCUAUUAUCAAAUCCAAGCCGGUCUUGAUUUAAUGGCUAAAGCUAAAUAUCUUCUUCAAGAAAGAAAUUAUCAAUUUAGAACUGAUGAAAGAAGAAUAUUAGCAUAUAAUUCAUAUCUCAUUGAAGAAAAUGAUGACGGCAUCAAUCUGCUAAAAAAGAUAGCAGCCAUGGACAUUGAAGAUUUUCCAUCUAACAUUCUGCAACAAAUCAGAAGUGCAUGGGAAAAUUGUCAUCAAGACAUAUCUACUAUCCAUCAUUUUGACGGAUAAAUAAAAAGUUAUGCUGAAGUCAAUUACAAUGGUCAAAACAUUAUGUUGAUUUAAAGAUAAAACUUGUGAUCAUAUUACGCAUAUAGACUCUAGAAAUGAAAACAACAUUUCAUCUCUGAGUAAGGGUAUUAAUAGUCUUGUUGAUAUAACUUCUUUUUAUUUUGGUAGGUUAUUUAGUAAAGUAAAUUCUGUAGAAGAAAAAAUAAAUAACUUAGGUAAUAUAAAAGAGUUAGAUUUAAAUAAUGAGUCUAAAGAAAUAUUAACUAGUGUUAAUAAUAAACUAGAUCAAGUUUUUAAUAGUAAUAUCGAGUCCGAUGUAAAUUUAGGUCCUUUAUAUUACGGUAAUGGUAAAGAUCAUAUUUUUGUUUUAUCUGAUGAAGAAAACACUUCAUCUGAUGAGUCGUCAUCUAUGUUAAAAAAUUAUAAAAAACAUAAAAAACGUAAAAAAGAUGAAAAACAAAAAGAAUAUGAUUUCCAAUCCUAUAAAACCCUUAUAGAACAUUGGAAAGAAAAAUUUACUAAUAGUAAUGAUCAACUUGAAAGAGUUGAAUAUUUAAAAUUAAUAGAAGAACUUUAUGAAAAACAUAAAGAUCUUUUCAGUAUGUUUAAUUAUCAUUAUAUGUUAAAAUAUGAUGAUAGUAGUAGUUCAAGUAAUUCUGAAAAAAACAGAAUUAUUAAAGAGACAAUCUGAAGAAGAAAAAACUUCAAUAGAUCAGGAUGAAGACAUAAAAGUCUCAACAUAUAAUUCUGAUGAAGAAACCACUUCAUCUGAAGAUGAAAAUAUUGAUGUUCCAGAACCCAUGGAUACUGAACCAACAGAUCCAUAUAGAAAAAGAAAAAUAGAAUUGGAUAGUCAAACAAAUGAUUAUCUGAUUAAAAAUUUAAAUAAAGAUCAAUAUACAACCAGUAUGUUGACUAGUAAUAUAAAAAAUUUAACCAUAAAGAUUAUAUUAGUAAAAGUUCACUAGGAUGGUUAGGUGUAAAACCAAAUACUCAUCAUAGGCAUAAAAAGAAAAUAUAAUAAACAAAUCAAAAGGAAACUAGAAAAUAAAAAAUUUUCUGGUCAUAUUACGAAUCAGUUUUCUAGAAGAACUUCUAAAGAACUUAAAGAUAUUUUAAAUAACAAGAUAAGUUAUAUGGUCAAAAACUUUUCUAACAAAAGAAAAGAAGUUGAAAAAAGAAUUAAAAGUCUUGAAAAACAAGACCUACAAAUAAGUCAUAAAAAGGAAAUAAAUCCUUAUAAAAUUAAAUCUGAUAAAAAUGAAAAAAUAUUUUUAUUAGAAAAUUCCAUAAAUAUUAAAAAAGUACAGACUAUUAUUCAACAAAUGAAAAUUGGGAAAAAUGAUAUUAUCACUCUUUCAAAUUUUCAACCUAAAAAGUAUUAUACAUAUAUUGAAAUUAACUUUCAAUUUAGAGAUUAUAAAAAAUAUUCUUUACAUGCUUUAUUAGAUACUGGAGCUACAACUAGUAGUUGCAGAAAAAAUGCAAUCCCUAUAGAAAAAUGGGAACCUAUGAAUAAUCCUAUAAGAGCAAUUGGUAUGGAUGGUAAAUAAACCAUAAUCCAAUAUAAAGCUAGAAAUAUACCAAUCUACAUAAACAAUGUUAGAUUUGUAAUUCCUAAGAUUUUAUGUUUUCCUGAAAUGCAUGGAGACAUAUUAUUAGGUAAUAAUUUUAUAUAUCAACACUUAUCUUUUUCUAUAGAUAGAAAUUUUGUUAUUUUAUCUGUGGAAAAUUUCUCAGUAGAAAUACCACUUGUAGAAAACCAUAAAUUUGUGUGUGAUCAGAAUUUUAUUCCAACAAGGAAAGAGCAAAUUAAACAACUAGAAACAAAUCAUUGGUUGUUUAAAAUUCUUGAAAAUAAUUUUAGUGAAGAACCAUUAAAAUUAUGGAAGAACAGUCCAAGAUACUGUGAAAUAAAAUUAAUUAAUCCUAAUAAAAUUAUUAGGGUUAAACCUAUAAUCUAAACUAAACAAGAUAUAGAUGAAUUUGAUGUUCAAAUAAAUGAACUUCUAGAAAAAGGAUUAAUAGAAAAAACUAGUAGUCCUCAUUCCAGUCCUCAUUCCAGUCCAGCUUUUAUGGUAAGAAAUCAUGCUGAAAUUAAAAGAGGAAAAGCUAGAAUGGUCAUUAAUUAUAAGAGAUUAAAUCAGAAUACUAUUUUUGAUGGAUAUUUUAUUCCACGAAAAGAAGUAUUAAUUAAUCAGGCUAAACAUGCUAAAUACUUUAGUAAAUUUGAUUGUAAAUCAGGAUUCUGGCAAAUCAUGCUAACUGAUGAAUCAAAACCUUUGACAGCCUUUAGUGUUCCUAAUGGUCAUUAUCAAUGGAAGGUAAUGCCAUUCGGUCUAUGUAAUGCCCCACAAGUUUUUCAAAGAUGGAUGGAUUCUAUUUUUAAUAAGUAUAAAAAAAUUUGUGUGGUAUAUAUAGAUGAUAUCUUAGUCUUUUCAAAAACACUUGAAGAGCAUAGAAAACAUCUNNNNNNNNNNNNNNNNNNNNNNNNNNNNNNNNNNNNNNNNNNNNNNNNNNNNNNNNNNNNNNNNNNNNNNNNNNNNNNNNNNNNNNNNNNNNNNNNNNNNNNNNNNNNNNNNNNNNNNNNNNNNNNNNNNNNNNNNNNNNNNNNNNNNNNNNNNNNNNNNNNNNNNNNNNNNNNNNNNNNNNNNNNNNNNNNNNNNNNNNNNNNNNNNNNNNNNNNNNNNNNNNNNNNNNNNNNNNNNNNNNNNNNNNNNNNNNNNNNNNNNNNNNNNNNNNNNNNNNNNNNNNNNNNNNNNNNNNNNNNNNNNNNNNNNNNNNNNNNNNNNNNNNNNNNNNNNNNNNNNNNNNNNNNNNNNNNNNNNNNNNNNNNNNNNNNNNNNNNNNNNNNNNNNNGAAACUGAUGCAUCACAAUAUUAUUGGGGAUGUUAUUCUGAAAGCUAAAACAGCUAAUAAUGAAGAACUUAUAUGCGGAUAUAGUUCAGGAAAAUUUAAGCCUAAUGAGGUUAAUUAUAUUAUUUAUGAAAAAGAAUUAUUAGCAAUUAAAAAAGGAAUAAAAACUUUCCUUAUUUAUUUAGCACCUGAAAAGUUCAUUAUAAGAACUGAUAAUCAGGCAGUCAAACAGUUUUUAACUAACAAUAGUUUAGAAACUGUUCCUAGAAGAAUUAGGUGGUAUAAUGAUUUAUGUACUUUUAAUUUUGAAGUUUUUUAUAUUAAAAGUGAUGAAAAUCUACUUGCUGAUUUCUUGAGCAGGCCUCAUGGAUAGAGGUAAACAACCUCUAAUAGUUGGUGAAUGGACAACCGUUCACAAAAAGCCCAACAAAGGGAAAGCAGAAUCAAACUCCAAAAAAGGAUUUGUACCUGCACAAAAACCAUUUUAUCCUAACCAAGGAUAUUAUGUGUCUUAUCCAAUGGUAAACCAACCAUUUGGAUCAAAUGCUUUAAAUUACCCUAUGGUAAACCAACCAAUGGGAAAUACUUUUUCAUUGACCCCAAACACGGUGAGUCAAUUACAAUGGUCCCAAAGUCUGAAUUCAGUAUCACAAACAAGUUAUGCUGAAGUCAUUAAGGGAGCUGAAAAUUUGUUGAAUCAACAACAAAUUCAAGAAUUAAAAGAUCUUUCAAAAAUUAAAGAUUUUUAUAACCCUGGUUUAUCACCAGAAUUUUAUUAUUUUAUAAAUGAAAUAUGGAAAACCCAUAUUUCAAACCAAAGAGCCAAUUUCCGAAGAGCUCUUACCAGAUUUUCAUCUUUCUUAGUUGAAAAAACAACUAAAGAAAAUGAAGCUGAAAAUUUAUUAUUAAAAUCUUUUUUAUAUAGAGAAUGGGAUGAAUUCCAAAUGGAAUUUAUGGAAAAAGAGGAGAUAAACAAUCUUCUUGAUAUUUUUCAAUAUCUUAUUUAUAAAGGGAAAAAUACCCCUAUUAUAAAUAAAAUAUUUAGAAUUUGUUUAUAUAAUAAAUCUAGACAAAUUUUACCAGUAGAAAUAUUCAACAAAAUUAAUGAAACUAUCUGUAACCAGCAGAUAAUUCAAUUUCAAAAAUCAUUUUCUGAACAUUUUCUUAAUUUAUAUUUUUUACGUUUUUUAUAAGUAUUGGGAUAUAUUUGUUUACACCCAAACUCUCAUUCGUUUUCUAAAAUUUUAGAACAAUAUUUAUGACUUAACUUAUUUUUGACUUGUUUAGCCGCUUUACUUUGCAAACAAUGUAAAGUUAUUCUUUCUUUUGCAAAGUUAAUUCUAUUACCUAUAGUAUCUAUAUUAUCUUUCGAAAGCCCUGAAUUUCUACAGUGCUUAUCUAAGUAAGAUACGUAUUUGUUUAUACAUAUCUCAUCCCAAGGUGGGGGUAACUUAUGGAAGUAUUGGUUUUUCCAAAACUCUAUAUUUUCAUUUUUUAAUUUUUGAUAUUCAUAAAGGAAUUUUUUAGAAAAUUCUUCUAAAUAUCUAAUAUCACAUAAUUUUAUUUUUGAAAGUAUGUAACUAGCUACACUAUCUUGAUCUUUUUUAUCACAAUAACCACAAAAUUCUGUUUUUAGAAUAGAGGUUAAUCCUUUUAAAAGGUCUUUAGGAGAUCCUAUUUGGUUUAAUAAAAGCUCCUUUUGUUCUUUUCCUUUCUCAGACUCUUCCAAUCGUCUAAGAAAUUGAAGAACAACACCUUGAAAAGUUCCAACAAAAUAGUUUAAAAACUUUUCUUUUAACCAAUUGUUGUUGUUUACAACAAUAGUCAUUGAUUGUGCCCAAUCAUCUAUAACUUUCUCAUAGUCUGAUAUAGGAGUAUUAGUUAAAUCUAAAUAUAUUCUUCCUUGAGCAACAUUUCUUUUAUUUAGAUCAUCUAUUCUUGGUUGAACAGGUUGAUUUGAAGUUUCUCCUGGAUAUUUAGUUGUGCAGAAUCUCUCUUUUCAUCUUUUAAAAGAUUUUCCAGCCAUUGUAAAGUCUGUCUUACAAAACAUCAUAAACAAUGAUGAUUUUUAUUACUAUAUCCAUAUUGAAAUUAGUAGUCUAAUUGGUAUAGCUGAACAAGAAAAAUUUUAUCAGCCAUAUCAAAUUUGGAUAAUUAAAAAGAUGGUUGGAACACCCUAAUUAUCUGCUGUAAAUAAAGAUAAAGAACAUUUGUCAAAAACAAUUGAUAAAUGUUAUACUAAAUUUGAAAAUUAUCAAGUCCAAACAGGAUUAGAUUUAUUAUCACAAGCCCAUUAUCUUCUCCAUGAUGAAAUCUAUAAACUAUGGACGGAUGGCAGAAGAAUAUCCUAAAGGUUGUAUAAGCCAAGGCAACCAAAAGGGGUGUCAAUGAUCUAAACACUAUGAAAGUCUCCACAAUGGCAUGGUUCAUGACGUAAAAAUCCAAACUUGCCCAAAACCCACCCUAAAGCAAAAGUUAAGUAAUGUAAUGCAGUCAAUAAACCUGGGUAAUUGAAUUUGGUAAUUGCAACUUUGUUUAUAACAGUGCGUAAGCUUGAACAAAAUGCAUAACCAAUUACAAAACUGCUUGUAGCAUUGAAGUUUUUUAGUGGAUUCAAAUCUAAUGGUUGACAUUUUGGUAACCCAGAAAGAUUAUAAAUUUGUUCUCAAAAAAUAACUAACACCCAAAGUUAAAAACAACAGGUUUUAAACGAAAUUGACAAUGGCAGAUGCAUUAAUGGGAAUUAUAACAGGAUGUGGGUAGUAGAGAAUGUUAUAUGAUUUGACAAGAAAAAUCAACGAAUAAACAAAUUUAAAAGUAUAAUGGUGAAAUUAAAAGAGAAAUACAAAGGAAACAGAGAUCGAAAUGAAUGGUUGUGGGAAGAGCUGAAACGAGGUUUUAUGGAGAGAUGAAAGGUAUGGGGUUGGCCACUAUAAGCAAAAUCAGCGUGUUUCAGAGGUUGUUUCCCCACGUCCCACGACUCUGGUUAGGGAAGGAUGAUGAAAUAUGACCAUGAAAAAAGUGAAAGGGAAUUUUGAUUGGUUGAAAAGUUUGACUUGGUCAAAGAAGUAUUUUAUAGUGGAUUUGGUGUGCCAAGUCAGAAGUCCAUUAUGGGGUUAAUGGUUGGUCGCUAAAAUAAAAAAUUUUCUAAGGCAGUGACUAAAAUACAAAUCUUUUAAUUUGAGGGAUAAAACUAGAUAGUUUACCCAAAAUAUUUUUAGAUGACACUGAAACGUGUUCCUCACAUUUAGCCCCGUAUUCCGAGUGUCAGUGUCACCAGUAAAGGGAGCGAAUGUAAUACUUUUCUUCUCAUGGCUGCUUCAAAUGAAUCUGACCACCUUCUUUUUGCACGCACCGACAUAGGUAAUUAAUGCUAAUUAAGUGGGAUCGAAAAGGUAAAGAGGAGAGAGAGAAGAAAUAAAAUGGAGAGCUCCGGUGUAGUGUCAACCACAACUCCGACGUCUUUCAGGCUCCGAUGGGACGUGUUCCUCAGUUUCAGAGGCGAAGAUACUCGUCACGGUAUCACCAACACCCUGUAUUGCUCGCUUGUGGGAGAAGGCUUGCGAGUCUUUCGAGAUGAUGACGCUUUGAGACGUGGAGACGAGAUCGCACCGAGUUUGGUGGAAGCCAUCGAAGACUCGGCUGCUUUCGUUGUCAUUCUCUCUGAAAAUUACGCUACCUCCCAUUGGUGCCUUGAAGAAUUGGCGAGGAUCUGCGAGUUGCAUAGCCGGAGCCGGAGACUGGUUCUGCCUGUGUUCUAUGGGGUUGACCCCUCUCAUGUUCGAAAACAGAGGGGACCUUUUAAGGAAGCCUUCUUUAGCCACGAAAACAGAUUCGGAGAAAAACAGGCCAACAGAUGGAGGGAAGCCAUGGCCAAAGUUGGCUCCCUUGUUGGUUUUGUUAAAAGGUAAGCUUUUCCCCUUUCUACUAAUUACCUCAAAUCUCUCGUGUUUCUGCAAUUAUUUUAAUUAAAUAUUUAAGUAGAUUAAUUUUAAGAAAUUAAAAAUCACACUACCAUGCGAGUGAGGAAAGAAUCUUAAUUUUAAAAAAAUUAAGAUAAAAUUAAUUUUUUAAAUAAUUUUAUUGAGAUUUAAGAAGUUUCAAAGAUGAAUUUAAAUUUAGUGUUAAUGAUUGUUUUAGGUUUUUAUUUAGUUAACAAUCUAUAUUUCAAAUUAAUUCGCUUAACUGCCUUUCAUACACACAAAUUGAUAGUGUUUGUUAUUUAAAUUUUAAAUUAAUUGCAAAUUUUAGCUUAUAAUUUAAAAAAAUAGAAAUUUGUGUUUAUUAUUAAGUAAUUUAUUGCAUGAUUAUAAAAAGAAUUUGGUUGGAUUCAGGCAUGGUAUUAACUAUUAAUAUCAUGUAUAGUUGCUUAAGUCUAACACUCAAAAAAAUUGAAAUGAUUGAAGUUUUUCAAUUUGGAAUUGUCUUAGGUCUAAUUUCUAUCACUUUGGCUGAAUUAUUCGUAACCGCAUAUUUACAAUACAAACAAGGUAAUCAGUUGGACCUUUGGUUAAUUAACUUACCUUAUUUUUUUUGACUGACCCUUUAAUUGUAUAAUUUUAAUUUAAUCCAAGGAGGUCAAAUUCGAAUUGUUGUUUAAUUUUUUUUUCAAUUUGGUGUAAUUUUCGACCUAACAAGAGCGACAUCACGCUCUGUAGGAUUUGAACCUAUGACAUUGGGUUUUGGUCCUGAACUAUGAACAUUAAAUUUUGUUCAAAACCAUUUAUAUUUAUAAACGACUAACUAAAUUCAUUUAAGCUUAUCUAUAUAUUUUUUUAUUAUAUAAAAUAUAAUUAUUUUUAUUUAAUAUUUAAUAAUUAUAUAUUUUUUUGUCAUCUUUUACUAUUAAUAUUUUUUUUCCUUUUAUUAAAUCUAAACAUAUACAAUUAAAAAUUUUUAACAUUUACAUUAUACUAUAAUAUAUUUAAUUUUUAUAUGAUAUAUAAAUUACUUAAUAUACUCAUGACCAGUGUUUACCCCUUUAAUAAGCCUACAAAAUGUGGGUGAUUUAUAACUGGACUCGCUUCAGUAGAUAUCUUAGAAAAUCAAAAGAAUAUUUCAUUUAAUACAUAAACUAAACUAAAAUAAAUAACAUAUCAUUAUCAUAAACUUGAAAAUGGUGAGUCAAGUUGAGUUAGACUCUAGCUUUGAAUAUUAGAGCUUGAGUUUGACCUAUAUUUUAAACUAAUUUAAUUUUUUUGCUUAAGCUCAUUUUCAAGUUUAAUAUUUUUGUCCCAACCCUUUUCAAUUUUCGAGUCCACCUUCAAGCUUAGGUAGGUAGCUUGACCUUCAAAUAGGUCUACUUAACGGUUUUAAAAGUUAUUAUCAAUGAUAAUUAUAUUUUACUUUUGUUUUGUUUUUACUUUCUAUUUCUUUUUAAAUUACUUUUUAAAACUUAAAUUUAAUUUAAUUAUAUAUUAACAUUGAAAUUAAUUUUUUAUUUUAGUUAAUUUCUUUUCCAUUAAAAUUUUCUAAAUAAAUAUAACUAAAUUAAAUUUACAUGAAAAUUUAAUAAAUUAAUAUAUAACUUAUUUAAAUAUAAAUUUAAAAUAUUUAAUUUUUAAAAUCAAAUAUAUCUUAAUGCCAUUAAUUUUUCAUUAUUUUAUAAUUAAAAAUAGACAGAAAAAAAUAGAACAAAACUAAAUAAUAAAAAGAAUAUAAUCAUUUUUUUUUAUUUUAAACUUAAAGAGGGAUAAGUGGGUGUUCUUUACACUAAAUUCAAGAGGAUAAGAGUGAGUUUGGAUGGGCGGUGCGUUUACUUGCGGUUAGUGUAAAAAUAACGGUGGCUAGGGGUGAGCAAAACUCGAUUCGACUCGAAAAAAUCGAAAAAAAUUCGAAUUUCGAGUUAAACGAAUCGAGUUAUUCGAGUUAAUCGAGUUAUUUGAAUCAACUCGAAUUUUUUUUCGAAUUUUGAGUUCGAAUCGAGUCGAGUUUUCGAAUUCGAAUAAUUCGAAUAUUAAACUAUAAUAUUUUAUAUUUUUACCCAAAACUCCCAAACCUUUUUAUUUUUCCCUCAAAACUUUUACUCAUUCCCACUUUUCCCCCAAAACUUUUACUCCCCUCCCCUUCCAACCCCCCAAUCUACCCAAAAUUCAUUUCCCACCAAAAUUUUACUCUCCCAUUUAUUUUUUCUCAAAAUUUUACUCCCAAAAAUUCUCAAAACCUUUUAUUUUCUCCCACAAUUUUUACUUCCUCCCACUUUUCUCCUAAAACUUUUAUUCCUUUCCCAUCCCACCUCCCAUCUACCCCAAACCCUCCCCCCUCCAAAUUUUUUUUAAUAUUUUUCCUCCAAAAUUUUACUCCCCCUAUUUACUUUUCCUCAAAUUUUUAUUCCCCAAAAUUUUUUAUUUUUCCCCCUAAACUUUUACUUCUCACCCUUUACUCUCAAAUAAAAAAUUAAAAUUAUCCAAAAAAAAUCACUAAACAUAAAUAGUAAUAAUUUUAUUUAUAUCUACUAUUUAUAUUAUUAAAUUAAAUUUUACAUUUUAUAUUAUUUAUAUUAUUGAAUUGUUUAGUUAUAUUGAAUAUUUAUAUUAAAAUUGAAUUAUUAAUUAUGCCAUAAAAUAUUCGUAUUAAAAUUUUAUAUUAGCAUCAAUUUCACAUUUUAUUUUUAAAAUAACUUUUAUUAAAAAAAUCAUAUUUUUACAUUUAAUAUAUUAUUUAAUUUCAAAAUACAUAGUGACAAGAAUCUGAAGAAAAUUGAAACAACUAAGCAAGCAAAGAAGCUAACCAGUAUAUAAAAAAUUAAUAAUAAAUUAUGAGGUGAUGAAAGUUAAUAAAAAUUUUGAUUAAGGUGGACAAAUUUUAUUACGAUGAGUGACAAUGGUUGCAAGGACUCAAAAUUGUUUUUUAAAAUUUAACUCGAACAAAUAUAUUCGAUUCGAUUCGAAUUCCAUCUCACUCAACUCGAUUCGAGAAAACUUCAAAUAAAGUUAGGAUGAUAAAAUGAGAUUCGAAAACUCGAUUAACUCGAAAAUUUUCGAUUCGAUUCGAUUCGAUGCGAUCGAAUGCUCACCUCUAGCGGUGGCGGUGAGAUUAGAUACUGUAGCGAUACUGUAGCGUGAGACAAAAAGUAAGCUAAAUACACUGCACCCAAUCGUCCAUCUAAACCCAUCCUAAGUGUCAUUUACCUAUUUAUUUAAAAAAUAAAUAACAAUGUUAUAUGUGUAUUUAUUACAUUGUGGCUUCAAUUUGAUGGGUUUUUUUUUUAUAAAUUUAUUAAUUGAGAUGAUGAGAGUAUAAAUAUUAUAUGAAAAGGGCAACAAAACUUAAGUUGUUAGCUGAUAGGUUGUUGAGACCUACAAAAAUAAAAUCUACUUAAAUAAAUGAAAUUUUGUAGUUAAUUGUGAGUUGAAUUCACGAAGAUCAAUAAUAAUUUUAUUUAUUUAAGAAACAAGUAAAAUAAAAAUUAAAUAAAGAUAUUUGAAAUUAAAAACUAAAAUUAAAACAAAGUAAAAAGAAAUCGUAAAAUAAAAUAUAAGACAAUCUCCGUUUCAUUCAAGGGUUUGAUCAUUGAUACAAAAAUGAUUUCAAUGCUUUUUAAUAAAUUGGUUAUAGUUGUUGAUGAUUGUCGAGCAACUUAAUCUCUUUUUACCUUCUUGAUAACCAAGACAAUCAUCAUUAAUUACUUUCCUUAUUGACAAAUAAUCCUAUAACAAUCAUUUAGGAUUUAAUCUAUCAAUAGCAUUAAGAACAAAAAAAAAUCCAAUUCUGACCAACAAACAUACAAUCAAGGUUCAUUUAAGUUAGAUCGCACGCUCACACUACACGAACAAAGAUGUAGUUCGUGACAAAUAUUAGAAAUCAAUCAAUUGAUUAAAUACUUAAUUGAUAAGGCAAUCAUUUUAAGCUAUCAAAUACUGGUAAUAUAUUUAACAAACUUGAACUAUUGUAAUUAAACUAGAAGAUAUGCAAAUACCAAAGAACAAGGAAAAGAUUAAGAAUAACUCGAACUCACAAACUUUAUAGAAUCAAACUUCAAAUAAUUCUUUGACUAAAACGGAAAGUUUAGCAACCCAUGAAGACAAUAAAACACAAAAUCAAAAUAAAAUUAAGGGUGGUUAUGCUUCCGUCUCCCAAACAAAAGUGCCAUUGAAUACAUAAAUCAAAAUUUUUAUAGAUUUUUUGAUAAUUUUCACGUCAAACUUUCAGACCGUUUUUUGCACCUUCCUGAUUUUUUAGUCUCUUCGAAUUAUUAUGGAUCCAAAACAGAAGUUUAUAACUCAAGUUAUGACUAAAAUACUGAAACUACAUUGUAUUGAAAGUCCAAAUCGCAAAAACUUGUCAAAAUUAUACUUUAAACUCAUUUUUCUCUAGAUAUUCUCUAAAUUUAUAAUAAAUAAAAUAUAUUUAUAAAUAAUAUAAUUAAAAACAUAAUUAGAGAAAAAAUAUAACAAAUAAUUUAGAAAUUACGCAUUUUGUCAUUAACAUUGAUUUAAUAUUUUUUUUCUAAACUUCUCAUUCUUAAAUGUUUAUGCACACUCAAAUUCUCGUUGAAUAGCAAUCAAGUUAAAAGUCUAUCAGCUAAACUCAAUUAAUAUUUUAAAUGUACCCAUUCAAAAAAAAAUUUUAUUUUAAUUGUGAUCUUUAAACCAAUAACAUUAUCCAAGAGAAUGCCUUUACUUUAUCUUGAAUGCAGAUAGUGGUUGGCAAUUAGUAUACCUAUAAAGCUGUAAAUUAUAUUAGAGUAGAAAUCGAAACCCCAGAUUUAAAAAAAAAAGAAAGGCAGGCUCGACACAUUUAUCUGAGAUGUUCCAAGUUUUCAUUGCUGCAAUUGUUUGAUGCAACUCUUCUUUACCAAGUAGGUUCUUCUAACUUUUACAGUGCAUUCAGGUUGGUUGGCAGUGAUGAAAGGGAAUUGAUUCGGGUUCUGCUGAGAGAAGUUCUGCAACAAGUGAAUAAUACUCCUGUGGAAGUAGCAACCUACGCAGUUGGACUGGAUACGCGGGUGACAGAGCUAAUAAAUCUCUUAGACGUGAAGUCCAGUGGCAUUAAAGUUGUGGGGCUUCAUGGGAUUGGCGGGAUUGGGAAGACAACCCUUGCCAAGGCUGUCUUUAACAAGAUACUCGUACACUUUGACCACCGCAGCUUUAUCUCAAAUGUCAGAGAACUUUCAAAACAAGGAGACGGUUUAGUAUCUCUCCAGAAAAAACUCAUUGGUGAUCUCUUCGGUUCCACUGGUAAUUUUCAUCUUCCUGCGGAUGAAUUCGAUGCUAAUGCCUCGAGAAUCAGAAAGAUUAUUAAUGAAAAUAUUAAUGAAAAAAGGGUUCUAAUUGUCCUGGAUGAUGUCGACCAAGAAAACCAACUGAAUGCACUAGGACUAGGUGCAAGAGUCAAAUGGCAAAAUGAUGGCAGUAUUCGGAUCAUUAUUACAACAAGAAAUAAAGGAGUUUUAAAUGAAUGUUAUGUAAAUCGGACUUACGAGGUCAGGGAAUUGCAUUUUGAUCAAGCACUAGAACUUUUCAGCUAUCAUGCGCUCAGAAGAGAGAAACCAACAAAAGAGUUUGAGAAAUUGUCCAAGCAACUUGUAGCUCUCACUGGAAAUUUACCUUUGGCUUUGGAAGUGUUCGGUUCGUUUUUGUUGGACAAGAGGAAGGUAACAGAAUGGGAAGAUGCUUUGAACAAGUUGAGAGAUGUUCGUCCACACGAGCUUCAAGAUGUGCUGAAGAUAAGCUUCGAUGCGCUAGACAGAGAAAAUCAAUGCAUAUUCCUAGAUGUAGCCUGCUGUUUUCUCGAUUUGCAUACCAAGAGAGAGGACAUAAUUGAUGUAUUGAGAGGAUGUGGUUUCAAAGCUGAAAUAGGGUUAAGAGUUCUUGAGGAAAAAUCACUGAUUAAGUUCACUGAGGGCGAUGCUCUUUGGAUGCAUGAUCAACUUAGGGACAUGGGAAAAGAGAUUGUGCAAAAUGAAAAUGACGAUCCUGGAAUGCGCAGCAGGCUCUGGGAUCGAAACCAAAUCAUGACUGUCCUGCAAAAUCACAAGGUAUAUUAUAUAUAAGAAAUGUCUUGCAUAUUUGAUACUGUUGAUACAUUACUUCGUUAUACUAUUGACAAUAGGGAACAAGAAGCAUUGAGGGUAUUGUAAUGGACAUGAAGAAAGUCGAGAAUGGGAAUCAGGUGGUAGUCCAUACAAAACCAUUUAAAUCAAUGGUUAAUCUAAGAUUGCUUCAGGUGAAUCAUGUGAAACUGGAAGGAAAGUUUAAAUUUGUUCCUCAUGAACUCAAGUGGCUUCAAUGGCAAGGAUGUGCAUUGAAAACUCUUCCUUCUGAUUUUUGUCCUCAAAAGCUUGCUGUCCUUGAUCUCUCAGAAAGCAAAAUCGAAAAGCUAUGGAGCUCUUACUCUAACAAUGUAAUGACAUAUCGUUUUAGAUAUACGCACUGUCUACUUUCUUCUGCUUGUAACUAGCUAGUUUGUGGAAAUAUAUAAGCAAUAUUUGUUUGUUUCAGGUUGCUGAAAACUUGAUGGUCAUAAACCUGCGUGGUUGCCCUCAUUUGGCUUCUCUUCCUGAUUUAUCAGGACAAAAAAACCUGCAAAAGAUUGUUCUCGCGUAUUGUGUAAAACUGAUAAACAUUGACAAGUCAGUUGGUACUUUAAUUUCCUUGCACCACUUGGAUAUGACAGGCUGUUUAAACCUUGUUGAAUUUCCAAGUGAUGUCUCAGGGAUGAAAAACCUUCAAACCCUUGUCCUCACCGAUUGCUCCAAUUUGAAGGAAUUACCCGAGGACAUAGGCAGCAUGAGGUCACUCAAAGAACUAUAUGUUAAUCGAACUGGCAUUGAGAAGCUGCCAGACUCUAUUUACCGUCUCGAGAAACUUGAAAAACUGAGCCUAAAUCGUUGCAUACAUAUCAAACAGUUGCCAAGAUGUGUAGGAAAGCUAGCUUCUCUCAAGGAACUUCAUCUUGAUGGAUCUGGAUUACAAGAAUUGCCUGAUUCUGUUGGAUAUUUGGAGAACCUGGAGAAAUUAAGUUUAAUAUCUUGCGAAUCAUUGACUGCAAUUCCUGAUACUGUUGGCAAUCUCAACUUAUUGAAAGAGUUGUUCAUAAAGGGUAGAGCAAUCACAGAGUUGCCAAAUUCUAUCAGUUCUUUAUCAUAUCUCAAGUGCUUGUAUGUUGGAGGCAUACAGAUGCGGAAAUUGCCAGACUCAAUUCGAGGACUGGUUUCUUCAGUGGAACUUGAAAUAGAAGGCACAUCAAUUACGUGUCUCCCAAGUCAGAUUGGUGAUUUGAGAUUACUUAAGAAGCUUGUGAUAUUUAAUUGCACUUCACUUGAAUCUCUGCCAGAUUCAACUGGGGGCUUGUUUGCUCUCACUUCUAUCAACAUAUUCAAGGCCAGUAUUACUGAGUUGCCAGAGUCUUUUGGGAUGUUGGAAAAUCUCAUCACGUUAAGAUUGAACAAGUGUAGAAAGCUUCAUAAACUUCCAUCCUCAAUGGGAAAUUUGAAGUCAUUGCAUCAUUUGUAUAUGAAGGAAACUGCUGUGACAGAAUUACCAGAAAGCUUUGGCAUGCUCACAUGUUUGAUGGUGCUGAACAUGAGAAAGGAUCCCAACAAGCAAGAGCAACCAAAUUCAUCAUUUGUAGCGUUGCCAGCAUCUUUCACAAAUCUCUUAUCGCUGCAAGAACUUGAUGCUCGGGCCUGGAGAAUAUGUGGUGAAAUCCCAGAUGAUUUUGAGAAGCUGGCAGCAAUAGAGAGUCUGGAUUUGGGUAGCAAUGAUUUCUAUAAACUACCAUCAAGUCUAAGGGGACUGUCACUUCUAAGAGAUCUCAAGCUGCCCAAAUGUGAAAAGCUUCAGUCCCUGCCUCCACUUCCCUCUAGUUUGGAGAAGUUGAAUCUUGCAAACUGUAUAUCAUUGGCGACAUUAUCUGAUCUUUCCAAUAUAAAGGGCUUACAAGAAUUAAACCUUACAAACUGUGAGAAAUUGGUAGAUUUGCCAGGCCUUGAGUCCUUAACGUCCUUGAGAGAAUUGUAUAUGAGUAACUGCAGUACCUGCGCUUCAGCAGCAAAGAAAAGACUCUCCAAGGUUAGUUUUCUUUCUUUUAGAAAGUUUAUAUUUAAUGCACCUUCAGUUUAUAAAGCUUGGUAUAUUUAUAAUGACAAAACAUCUUUUUAUAAUCUUUCCAUGUAGUAUAUUUUAUCAUCUCACCUUAAUGUUUAGAUUCAAGUUUCAAGAUAAAAACACACUAAGUAAUAUUUUUCCAAUUUUGUGAAGAACUUAAAUAUGGUAUAAAUAGAUAUUAUAUAUAAUAUUUUUUAUUGAGUUUAUUCAAACAAUAAAUAGCAAAUAAAUCACGUUUGGGAUGGAGCUUUUGAAUAUUGAUGCAACUAAUUUUGCAGGUUUAUCUCAAGAAUCUGAGAAAUCUAAGCAUGCCUGGAAGUAGAAUUCCAGAUUGGUUUACACAAGAGAUGGUUACCUUUUCAAGCCACAAAACCCGUGAUCUCACUGGGGUGAUAAUCGCAGUUGUUGUUUCCAUUAACCAUCAUAUUCCAGAUGAACUGAGAUACCAACUGCCUGCCGUGCUGGACAUUCAAGCACAGAUCUUCAAUGGCGAGGAGGCAAUAAUGACCACUGCAUUGAACUUAAUUGGGGUACCUAGAACCAACCAAGGCAAUGUUCACUUGUGUCGAUAUCCCGCAUAUCGUCCCUUGGUUUCCAUGUUGAAGGAUGGUUUUAAGAUUAAAGUGACCAGGCGAAACCCGCCCUACGUACAGGGCGUAGAGCUGAAGAAAGCUGGGAUUUUU
This 55419-nucleotide long non-coding RNA is filed under the name Gossypium raimondii (Peruvian cotton). RNAcentral's name for it is "long non-coding RNA (GRAI_LNC004120)". The stretch from base 44770 to 44852 matches the Rfam family "MIR8703 microRNA precursor family". Lineage: Eukaryota; Viridiplantae; Streptophyta; Magnoliopsida; Malvales; Malvaceae. The record is from RNAcentral.